This 84271-nucleotide long non-coding RNA is filed under the name Ananas comosus (pineapple). Its description in RNAcentral is "long non-coding RNA (ACOM_LNC009658)". Lineage: Eukaryota; Viridiplantae; Streptophyta; Magnoliopsida; Poales; Bromeliaceae. The record is from RNAcentral.
CCGUCCCACCCCCUCUCUCUCUCUCUCUUUUUGGAAAAACUUCAGAAACCCCGUGUGGUUUCGUAGUUUCUGACUUUACCUCCUGUGGUUUAAAAUAGAUAAAACUUCAAAAACCCCCUGUAGUUUCCUAGUUUCUCACUUUGUGCCCCUGUGAUUUCUUCUUUCUCUUUUUCUUAUCAAUUUUAUUAUUUUAUUUUUUUUAAAUCAGGGAUAAAGUUAAAAUUAAAGGGUACUAAAAUGAAUAUUUGAUAAAUUUAGAUGAGUAUCUGAAGUUUUUUUUAUAUAAUUUAAUGAAAUAUUAACAAAAAAGCUAUCAAAAAGAUAAAAACGAAACCACAUGGGGGCAAUUUGAUACAUUUUAAACCACGGGGGGGCAAAGUGAGAAACUAAGAAACCGCAGGGGGGAUUUUUGAAGUUUUCCCUUUAAAAUAUAUCAAAUUGCCCCACUGUGGUUUCGUUUUUAUCUUUUCGGUAGCUUUUUCGUUAAUAUUUAAUUAAAUUAUAUAUAAAAACUUCAGAUACCAAUCUAGAUUUAUCAAAUAUUCACUUUAGUACCCUUUAAUUUUAACUUUAUAACUGAUUUAAGAAAAAAAAAAAGAAAUUGAUAAGAAAAAGAGAAAAAAGAAACCACAUGUGGGCAAAUUAAUAUAUUUUAAACCACAGGAGGGCAAAGUGAGAAACUACGAAACCACAAGGGGAGUUUGAAGUUUUUCCUUUUUUUUUAGGGUGUUUUUGUUUUUAGACCCUCAAAUUUUUUUUUUUUUACAAAUAUCCUCAUAAAACUUAUGUUUACAAAAUUGACCCUAUUCCAGUCACGCAAGCACCACGAAAUCACCAUAUGAACGUAAAUAAAAAGUUGAAUAUGGUGAAUCAUUUGUCGUGUUUGGAUAUAGUGCAUGCUUCAUUAUGUUCAACUUAACUUUUACAAAGUUUAAAAUAAUAAAUACGAUGAAUGUAAAAAAAAACACGAUUUAAAUAAAAUGUGAAAAUAAAAUGAUGAAUUAUUCACCGUUUCCAAACACAAUGAUUGGUUCAUUAUGUUCAACUUAACCAAUCACAUUCACAUUGCGCUGGCGUGACGCUUGUGUGACGGAAAUAAUAUCAAUUUUGUAAAAAUUGUGAAAGUUUUUUGAGGAAACUAAAAGCAAAAAAUCCUUUUUUUGUGGGUAAACUUCAAAUGCUAUCCCUGUGGUUUCGCACUUUCUCACUUUAGCACUAUAUGGUUUAAAAUAAAUCAAUUUAGUAUUAUGUGAUUUUAUUUUUCUCUUUUCGUCGGCUUCUCCUUUAACAUUUCUUUAAAUUAUAUAUAAAAAACUUUAGACACUCCACAUAGGUUUAUGGAAUAUUCACUUUAGUACCUUUUAGUUUUAACUUUGCCACUCAUUUAACAAAAAAAAAAAGUAAAAAAAUAAUAAAAAAAGAAAAAUAAAACCAUAGUGUAAUAAAUCGAUACACUUUAAAUCACAGAGUACCAAAGUAAGAAUAUGUGAAACUACAAGGGAGGUAUUUGAUUUUUUUUUUUUUUUUUUUUUUUUUUUUUUUUUUUUUUUUUUUGGACCACUACCUCAACCCUAUUCUCCUACAACUCCUACUCUAUACGUUACCUCCCUACAAUUUUCAAAUUAUAAAACCACUUAAAAAAAAUUGAGUCGUUGUUGUUGGGCGCCUCCUCCUCCCCCCACACCCCCAAUUUCUCUUUUUAUUUUCCCCCCUUCUUGUUUUAUUUUAUUUUUUUUUAAUUUACCUCCUCCUCCAACUCAUCGUCGUCGGCGUCGUCGGUCCCGGAGGCGAGGCGAAUUAGGGUUCCGGCGAGGGGGGACGGCGGCGCCGCCGAGCGCCGCCGCAAUGGCGUCCAAGGCCUCGUCGGCGUCGGCGUCGGAGUCGGCGUCGGGGAGCAAGUCGAAUCCCUCCGCCGGGCUCCUCCUCCAGGUUCGCUUCGAUGCGGAUCUCUCGUGCUAGUGUUUGGCGGAUGCUUCGGUUUUUUUUUUUUUUUAAGGUUUAAUCGUAAGGAAUCGGGGUAAGAUCGGUGGUUUGGAGCAAUGUGGGUGAGGAGAUGCGGUGUUCGUCGCGAUUUUGUCGAGAAUUGGACAUUGGUGUAUUAUGUGCCUCUUUUCUCACAUUGGAUCGCUCUAAUAGGUGUAUUGGCUCUUAAUUUAGCAAUUACUAGUUCCUUUUGUGCAAAUAAUGCUCUAAUUUUUUAUUUUUAAUUUGUUUAGGGUAAUUUGAGAAAAAUUUGCUAUGAGGAACUACAUGUCAUGAGAUUAGUUUAUCGUUGGAAUAAUUGUUAUAUAGUUUAUUGGUAAUAAUAUAAUACCUUAGGUUGUUCGAAAUGCAUCACAGGUUGCUGGGGACAAAGAAGGGAGUGAUCUGGAACAAAAUGCUUUAUCUAUAAUUGACACCAUGAAGAAGCAAGUUAUUGCCGACCGGUACACUUAUAUUAAGGUACCACGAACAAUUAUGCUCUUUCUCGCAGUUGUUACUAUUUGUUCCGCGCAUCUGAGUGCUUAUAAGUUUACUGCAGCAAUUGAAAUAACAUAUUUCUGUUUUUUGUUUCAGAAAAAGAUUGAAGAGAACAAGCAGAAACUCAGUACCUUUACACAACAUACUUACAAUUUGUCACAAACCAGGAGAAAUAAUACUGUAAAUAGUACUGACAUAGAUGUAAACUUGUUAACAAGAAGGCAAGACGACGCGCUGUGUACUCUGAAUAGUCUCGAACUAUCUGCCGGGGAGAAAGAUAGCACUAGUUGCCAAGAAGAAAGUUCGUAUACCUCGUCAGUUGUUCUUUUGGGCGGCAAUGUCGGAGGAAAGAAUGCGAUUCGACCGAUUAAAUUGCUAGAAGUGGCAAAACUUCCUCCGUACACCACAUGGAUUUUUUUGGAUAGGUAGGGCAUAUAUUCAAAUACGAAUUUUUAGGGUAAAUGACACAACUAGUCCCUAAAAUUUCUGCCAAGUUUUCUCUUUUCUGUUUGGUCCUCGAACUUCAAAUUUGAUGUUAGUGGUCUCUGGACUCUUAAAAGAGUUUUACUUUAGUCCUUAUACAUAUUUAUUAUUAGAAAAGGAGGUUACUUCAGUCUUUCUUCAUAUUUAUUAUUAGAGGGCAAUUUGUGCAUCUCUACAUCUUUGGGUUAUAUUAUUUUCUCUACAUAAAAAUUGGACUGUUAAAUUGAAAGUAUGGGAUGCAUGAAGAAUCGAUGAAUUCAUGGUAUACGGACAUGAAGAUGGAUUAGGCACAAGUAACAACUUUUACUCUAAGGUAGGACUAAAAUGAAACAAACAUGAAACACUGUUGACAGUUUUAGGGACUAAAGUGACACCUUAUAUGGUCUCAAAUAUUGGAUUUGGUAGUUCGAGGACAUAAAUGAAACUCGACUUAAAAGUUCUGGGACUACUAAUGCAAUUUACCCGAAAUUUCUAAGUUGUUCAAAAUAGACGCAUGCUUUUUGUCUAUUCAGAUGCUCAAUCUGGAUGUGGGUGCUAUAUAAACAUGUUGGUUCGUAUUCCAUCUUCACAUAGUUUCUUUUGAUUUUUGCAACGAUAUAAAAUAUUCAUGUUCAACCAUGGAUUUAUCUUUUGGUUUGCCAUUGUCCUUUUCAUUUGUUAAAAUUGUUCAUCAGUGUCAAUUUUCUUUUGCUGUGUAAGUUUCUGCAUAAACUUUGUCUAGAAAUUACACCAAUUCUAUUGCUUUUGCCUCCUAUGUGCUUACCUGUUACUUGAUAAUUGCCAUUGAAGUAAGCGUUGCUUGAAUUGUAUGUUUGUGCAUUUUCUUUAUCAAUUGACUGAUUUUCAGACUUAUUAGUAGCUUCUAGUUUGACCUUUAGUAUCCAAACUGCGUUUAAUUACAUGGCUGCGCUAGGAUAUAAAUGCACACAGCGCAGAAAGAAGUAAUUAAUAUGUGCUUAGAUUUUUUUAUGCCAACUUGCUAAGGAAAAGACACAGCCGACCUAAUUUCUUCUUCUGGGUGGUUACUGUAGGAUAAACAGACAUAAGUUAUUAAUGAAGUCUUUGCUAUAUAAACCAUAUGACAACUUAAUAAGCUAGUCUUUGGAAAUGGAGCUUUUUCUUUUUUUUGUUAGGGGGAUUUAGUGCACUGUGUCACCGACGAAAUAUUGGUCUAACCCUAUCCCUAGCUGAAGCCUAUUGGACUUCAUAUUGUUCUUUCUUUAAUUGGCGCCAAUUAAAGCGGAGAUCUCUAGCCUUAACUUUCUUUUAAGUGAGGCUUCAAAUUCUUCUAGAGAAGGACAAUUGACCACUAUUAUCAGGGACAUGUUUUGUGCAUACUUUUGUUGCUUGGUUGGGAUCCAAAUUAUUAUCAGCCAAAGCUCGAUAAGUUACUGAAAUCUUCUAUACUAAGAAUCCUUUUGAUGAGUAGUUGAAAGGGAAGUAGAUUGAGUUCUAUUCUAGUUGUCAAUUUAUGUCAUGGACUUCCAAUAUAUAAAAGGGUUCUUUAUCCCAAGCUGGAAUAACUCAUUUUCUCUCUGGUUUCCUCUUCCUUGAUCUUCUGUCUGACUCUUGUCCUCUUUCUUCUAGGAGAUUCAGUCUCUUCAUUGUCCCAAAUCCUUAGUAUGAUUAAGUCAAAGGUCAUGGCCUGAAACCUCACACUUAGCUACAAAACCUUAUUGCCUAACCAAUCAUAAUGCAGAGCUUUAACCUAGACUAUCAACUUCUCUUGUUGGGUGAAUGUGGGGCCUGACAUUGUAGAGAAGAGAAUUUACUUAUUUCUUGUUCUUAUUCAUGUACUUUUAGUUGGCUAAGGUAUAUCAGAAUUAGUGAGAUAUUGAUUUGCUAAUGCAUCUGAGAAUGCAUUUAGUUUCUACAUUUCGUAAUUUUCAUUUUAAUUGCUGGAUCUGUGGAUUUUUUUGUGUCAUAUUCUCGAAGUUGUUGCUGUUAGCAUUUCGGCUUACAUUUUUGACUUUCAGUUUUACUGCAACUAAUAUUGCACAAAAUGACUUCCAGAAAUCAAAGAAUGACUGAGGACCAAUCUGUUGUUGGCCGUAGGAGAAUCUACUACGAUCCAAAUUGUGGUGAAGCUUUAAUUUGCAGCGAUAGUGAGGAUGACGUAGUUGAUGAUGAAGAAGAAAAGAAAGAGUAUAGAGAUUCUGAUGACUAUAUUAUCCGGUUUGUGGACUUUUACAUGUUAUUGAUAUCAGGACUUUGCUUUUCCUAGUAUAUCCUUUUUGCAUGUGUUUUUUGGACUUUUUGAUAUCAGUGGCUAAAUUUUUUUAGUAAUAUUACAGAGUAGUGUUAUGAGUAAAAGAACUAUAGAUUGAAUACUUUUCGUUGCUUUGCAAUCGAGUAAUUAACAUUCAACAUGAUUGGUUAGUGCUCUUGUAUUUUAUAUUUCUCAAUGUAUACACACAUCUAUGUAAAAGAUAAGUUUAUAACAAUAUUAAAUAAUAGACAUCUAUUUCUUUCCUCGACUGAAAUUCGUAAUACACUACGGUCAUCAAUAAUCGGCCAUCUUUCAAAUAACCCUUUCAGAUAUUCUUCUUCUUCGGGGCCUGAUGCUUUCAAACUAGUCUUUUUGAAGAUCCUGGGACUAAAUUUCUCUGAUUAGUUAAUUUGUUACAUUUCUCUGAUUAGUUAAUUUGUUACAUUUCUCUGAUUAGUUAAUAUGUUUUCCUCAUAAAUGGUUAUUGACUUGGCAAUCACACCAGCUUUAUGUUUCAAAAGCUACCUCGCGGAAGAGCUGCUUUCCAAAUGGAAUAUAGUUGAAUUUUUAGUUUCUUCACUGACAAAAUAAGCUGAAAACAUGCGUGGACUUUAGUGUCUUAACUGAACUUUUCUGACAUCCACAACUUCACAUAAGCAGAGCAUGGCCUUUAAGGAGAAGGAGAACUUAAUAUCUGAUGAUCUGAAAACCAAAAAACCAAACACACCGGAAUAUUCAUUUCUUUUUUAAGUUGCAAAUUUAGUCCCUGAAGGUUAACCUUCAUUUUAAUUUCAUCCUCACAGUUUCAUGCAUAACUAUUUAGUUCCUGAAAUUUGUUAUGCGUAACAAUUAAGUCCAACUGUCUGAAAAAGGCGCACCAUGUAAACAGCAUCAUUAUAUUUUUGCUUAGUCAAAAUAGCAAGUGAGGACUAAAUUGAUAUUGAUUGAUUGUUCUCAUAUUUUGUUCUUCAUUCUUUGGUGUGUCUUGAAAUAAGAUGCAAUUUUUACCAUCUUGCUGUAGGAUGACCAUUCAAGAAAGUGGAUUGUCUGAUACUGUGCUGGAUUUAUUGGCUAAGUGCUUUGAGAGGACUCCUGAUGAAAUAAAGGCAAGUUUUUGUGUGCGAAAUGUGAAUUUUGUGUCAACUGUCUGUAUCACGCCGAGUUAAUUUCUCUUCCUUAAGUGUGAUGAGAUUCAAAGUUUUCCGAAACUUGGUUCGGCUGUUUCCCAUUCGCCUUGUGGUGACAUUGACAGACGUAUGAAACAACAUGGAACAUCUUAUACAGGCAAGAUAUGAGAUCUUACUAAAAGAGAAAGCUGAGAAAUGUGUUAAAAAAGAAGCUGAAGUUGAUAAAAAAGCUGGCGAAGCAUUUCUUGAGAAGGACUUGGAUGCAGCACUGGAUUCUUUUGAUAACCUUUUCUGUCGGCGAUGUUUGGUAAGCACGAUUUGUAUUCAUAUAUGCAGCAAUCACUUUCUGGUCUCCUAAAAUCUUCGUGUUUUUUUGAUUUCUCAAGUAAAGCCCAAUGUUCUUCCUUGCUGAUUUUUACAGGUCUUUGAUUGUAGAUUACAUGGAUGUUCCCAGGAUUUAGUGUUUCCUGUAAGUUAUUGAGCAGCAAGUUGAUUGUACAACUUAUUGCAUUUGUUUGUUGAAUUUUAUUUUCCUUCUUUUUUCAGACAGAAAAACAACUACCUUGGCACAACUCAGAUGAGGACGUACCAUGUGGUGUUCAUUGUUACAAGGUGGUUUGUAUUUCAUAAUUGCAUUUGAUUAUGUUGCUUAUGGUUGACCUCAAGGAAUGUCUAGAACCUCUCAACUCUCAGGAGUCCUAGGUUUUCCCUUGAUGUUUCUUAUGUUUAUAUCAGGCCUCCAAGUCUGAAAAUGUUGGUGCAAUGGAUUCACAGGUGCCGCGUGCUUCUGAAGAGCCCACUAACUCAUCUGAUAGCACUAAAAACGAACAAUCACCUAAAAAGAAAAUGCAAAGCUCUUUGCUAGGAAGGAAAUCAAAAUCUCCACAAGGUGAUUCUGCUUCUUCAAAUGCAAGAGUCGCUUCAGAGAGCAGUGAGUCGGAAGUCCGUCCUUGUCAAGGUCUCAAAUCUUCUCCACUUUCUCCAUCAACCUCAAAAGGUAAGCUAGGUGGGAAAGGUGGAAUACGAAAAAGAAGCAACAAAAGAAUUGCAGAGAGGGUUCUUGUGUCCAUGCGGAAAAGACAAAAGAAAAUGGGAACAUCAAACUCUGAUUCGAUUAUUAGUGGCAGCUUUCAACCACGGGCUAUGAAGCUUAGAUCGGACACACGAGGUGGGAAUAAAGAUUCUAGUUCCUCCUCACAGCACAAAGUGCCGAGCACCAGGAGUUCUGGUCAAAAGGGUGCACCUCAGAAGGAAAAUGGUAAUUCCAUAUGUGAGGAAAUUCAGAACGGUUUUGCUUGUGAAAUGGUGAAAGAGUCUUCAGCUACUGAUGAUGAUGAGAGUUCUCAAAAGGAGGAGUUUGUUGGUGAGAAUACUUGCAAGCAAGAAGAAACUGGUUGCAAUUCUUGGACUGUCAUUGAGCAAGGACUUUUCCUAAAAGGUCUUGAGAUGUUCGGAAAGAAUAGGUUAGUAUGUACUUUUGCUAAGAUAAUAUUAAAUAUCCACACAGGUUCUUCAUCUUUUAGUACUCUAUCAUAUCUUUAUACCGGUAAAAAUAUUUUAACCAGGAAAAUGUGUACCUCAUAUUUAUUUUUUUCUGUUUACUUUUAUCUGCAUAUCUUUUUUGUGAAAUGGAUUCCUAUUGCUGCGGAAUACCUGUUUUUGCUAUGUCCAAUUUAUUAGCUUUCAACCAAUGACCCAAAAUUGUUUGGUGUGCAGAAAUUUGUUUUGCCACUCAAAGAUAAAUUGAACGACAAUUGAAGUAUGCAAUAUUGACAUAUUUAUAUUAUAUUGACAUUUGUGUGCAUGAAUAUUACUGCUGCUAUUAGAUGAGAUCAAAAACAUUUGUUUGCAUGACUAUUACUGCUGCUUUUAGAUGAAAUCAAUAAGAUUUUUUUUGUAUGGUUACUAUUGCUGCUCUUCGAUGAAAUCGAUCUGUUUUGAAUUAGAACUCCAUGAGGUUUGACUCUCAGAAAGCAAGAAAUUGGGGAUUGGUUUGACUGAUCAGUUGAAGUUUGUGCUGAUUAGAUGGAACCACGGAGUUGUGGGAACGGUAAUAGCUGCAAUUGAAUUUCAAUUGCCAAGAUCACUUUGAUAUCUUUAUUGACUUUGUGGCCUCCUACCAUUCUCUAUUUUGUUUUUUUAAAAUGGAGUGAAAAUAUCUUACAAGGGUGUAACUGUAGUUUUGUGACAGUUCUGUCUUAAUUUUUCAUUUCACACCGAGAGCUCUAUGGUUUAUCUAUGUUCUGUCAAUUGUAUUAUGUCUUCCGUAGUUGAUUCAAAUAGUGGGAUGAUGGGAUUGUAAGUUGAUCAUCAAAUUAACCAAACCACCUUGUGUGUUUGCAUGUACAUGCAUGUGGAUCAAAGAACUGCUCUCUUUCUUGACCUUCUUUUCUCUUAUCAUUUUCAAUUUUCCCUUUGUUCUAUCUCGGACUUUCAUGCUUAUCCUGCUUUGUGGUUUAAGAACUAAACGUCUUGAUUGAUUAUUUUGGAUAUUUAACUUGGCUGGCAAUAACACAUUUAGUCUUAUCAAUGGGUACCACUUGCGCCCUACGAUGCUUGAACUAAUUAACUCCAGUCGUUGUGUGUCUGUCCUUUUCAUUGGAAUUUAAAGAGUCAAAAUUUGGGUCACUUGGUGGCCUUGCUAGGUUUUAGGUUGUGUGGCAAACGUUUUUGUGAUUCAUUUUGCUCUAUUUGCAAGUCAAAUUCUAACUUGCUUUGUAUUCAAAAUCUAUUUUCUAUGUGCAGUUGUCUGAUUUCUCGAAACCUUUUGAGUGGAAUGAAAACAUGUUCUGAGGUUUUUCAUUACAUGAAUUAUAUUGAGAGUAAAGGAGCGUGUGGAGUUCAUAAUGGUUCAAAUUCUCUCGCCGAAGGACAUGUAAAGGUUAGUACUAAUGUAUUAUUUUUCACUACGUAAGCAUACAUUUCGGUCAGCAACUUAUAUUGGUAGUUCUUUCCAUGCUGACACUCUCAGGGCAAUGACUUGCGCACAAGAUCAAGGUUCUUUAGAAGGCGAGGUAGAGUUCGUCGAUUAAAGUAUACCUGGAAAUCUGCUGGAUACCAUUCCAUAAGGAAAAGGAUUACAGAGAGGAAGGAUCAGCCUUGUCGCCAAUAUAAUCCUUGUGGCUGUCAAUCGGCUUGUGGAAAGCAAUGCCCUUGCCUCUUGAAUGGGACAUGCUGUGAAAAAUACUGUGGGUGAGUUUUUCUGUUUCUCAUUUUCUUUGAUGAAUGUUAUCUGAUAUUCAUUGACUUAUUAUUAUUAUUUUUGAACAUAUAGCUGAUUAAUUGAUGAAAGUUUCAGAAAAAAAAAUCCAUUUAAACUAGCCGUGUACUUCAUUUUUUUUGUUUGCUUAUAUUGCAUCAUAUUGGGAGGCUUUUCAUCCAUCCCCCACAUGGUUUCUUUUUGUCAGUUGAAGUUAAUGCUCUUGCUUUGUUACUUCAUUACCGAGAUUAGUUCGGGUGCAUUGUUUUUUAUGCCACUACUUGAAAACACCAUUUCAGUUAAAAGUAUCUGUUCUAUAUAUUGAAAGUUAAAAAUAUAGAUGCAUUCAUAUACUGCAUAUUAGUUACAUUAUGGUUUUCUGACACCUUCUAUAGAUUUAUCACUGUCUUGAUUCUGAUUGAGUUGUUCAUUCUUUUAAAGAAUGCUUUGGAAGGAGUGAAAUAUGAAUAACCCUAUUCUGAAUUCCACUUAAUGCGACAUUGCUGUCCAUAGUUGGCUGCCUAGAUCAGUUGAGUGGAUAAGUCCCCAAAAAUUAUAGAGGGGAUAGUGUAAACUAUGAAGCAUUGUAUUAUGUUUACUUCGUACAAGAUAAUGGAUUCAUAUUCUUUAAAUUCCCUCACUUCAUAUAAUUUAAGAGUUAUUCUGAUGGAAACUAGUCUGAUCGACUUCUAUUCUAUGCUUAUACUGUGAACUCUAUUUGACUGCACUAUUCCUUGUUUCUUCUGCUAGUUAUGCUUGCCAUAUCGCUUACAUCCUGUUCACUAUCUUUAUUAGGUGCCCCAAGAUUUGCAAGAAUCGCUUUCGAGGUUGCCAUUGUGCCAAGAGUCAGUGUAGAAGCCGCCAAUGCCCAUGCUUUGCUGCCGACAGAGAAUGCGAUCCUGAUGUGUGCAGAAACUGUUGGGUUGGGUAUGUAUAUCAAGCCCAAGUUUGACUAGUUAAACCUUAUGUUACUCUUGGUUUUAUCUAAUUUGGUAGAUUAUUCAUUUUUCUUUGGUAAACUUGACAUGCAAAUCAUGUAAUGGGGGGAUCGCCUAGUUUAGGCAUAUCUCGUGGCAUGCUCCCAAAUGUGAGCAAUAAAAAAGAGCUGAAAACUGCACAUAAAAAAUUAAGAAUAAAUGUUUUAUUACCAAAUUGGUGAUAUGCAACAAUAGGAAAUUUAGUUGGAUUACAGCAGCCGUUGGAAAAUAAUUGGAAAAUUUUUGGACUCAUGUAUUGAAACCAACCUCUUGUUAGUUGUUUUCUGGUACUGUUGAUAUUAUAUGCUUUCUAAUCUUUCUGUACAGUUGUGGUGAUGGCACUUUGGGAGGCCCCAGUCAAAGAGGAGAUAAUUAUGAAUGCCGAAACAUGAAGUUGCUUCUCAAACAACAGCAAAGGGUAAGAAUAAACUACUGUGAAUACUAGUUAAUGCUUCACUUUCUAUGAUUUGAAGUAUGUUUUCAUUUAGCAAGCAUCUUCUUAUUUUAGUAGAGAGUCUAAGCGAGCCAAUGAACAACAACAUACACCCGGCCACCCCACAAUCUUGUUUCUGUUUUUUUAUUGGGCUGAAUUUAGCUAGACAGAUAUAGACUUAUUUACAGCAGUACCUAAGAAAAUAGACACUGGAGUUUUCUCACAGUUUGUAAUUCAAUGCAUGUUCUGAUUUGAAAAAUUCAAUUUGCAAUGUGAUGUACAUGACAAGGCCUCUGAAUGAAAAAUCUUAACUUCUGGAGCCAUCGUGACGUAGUAGUCUCGACAAAAAGUGCCUUUUGUCAUUCGAUCAUGUUAUCAUGUAUUGCAAUUAUGAAAACAUGGGAAUGUGAGACAUAGUAAUGGAACUAAUGAUAUAGGUAAUCUCUUUGAAUCUUUCUAGUGUCUCUCUCUUCAUACCUUCUAUCAUAUAUUGCUAGUUCUUUUUGUGCCGUUGCGGCUAUAUUUCAUUAUGCAAAUUGAUAUGAAUAGCACAUAAUUUGAGACAUUAAUAUCUCAAACUUGAAGUUUUCCAGAUAUUUAUUGGUUAUAGGUUUGCUGCCUUUUGCAGGUUCUACUUGGAAGAUCCGAUGUUUCUGGCUGGGGAGCAUUCCUUAAGGUUUGUACUUCCACUUUGCUCGUUUUCCCUUUUAUCUCAUCUCAUUGUCUUAUCUUUGUGGCAAUUUCAGAAUAGCGUGGGUAAACAUGAAUAUCUUGGUGAGUACACCGGAGAACUGAUAUCUCAUAGAGAAGCAGAUAAACGCGGAAAGAUCUACGACCGCGAGAACUCAUCAUUUCUCUUCAACCUAAAUGACCAGGCAUGCACCCUUUCCUAUUUGAUUGAAUUUAUGUGCGCCUACAAAUGAAUCGUUUACAUAUAUACCUGCCGGCAAAAUCUGAAUUUUCAUACUUGUCCUUGAAAAAACUUAAAUAUUCUUAUAUAUACAUCCUUGUAUUUACGGACAUCAUUCUCUAAUUGGUCAAUUCACCUACUUGGUGUUUUUUUCUAUGACACUGCUAUGAAAAUUCCGAUUUUAAACAGGUUAUUAUUUGGAUGAUUUGCAGGGACAUAAAUAUAUAAAAGCCUCUUACUUUUCAAGUCGUACUAUUAAUUACUCUAGCAGUUAACUAUUUAACACUUGCUGUGCAGUUUGUUCUUGAUGCGUACCGUAAGGGCGAUAAACUGAAAUUUGCGAACCACUCCCCUGACCCAAACUGCUAUGCUAAAGUCAUAAUGGUAGCAGGAGAUCACAGGGUCGGCAUAUUCGCGAAAGAGAGGAUCAGUGCAGGGGAGGAGCUGUUUUACGACUACCGCUACGAUCCGGACCAUGCCCCUGCAUGGGCUCGAAAGCCCGAAGCAGGCGGCUCCAAGGACGACACACAUCAUUCCAGCGGAAGGGCGAAAAAACUUGCCUGAAUAGUUAGGACUAUGAGCCUUCAUUUUUUUUUGCUUGGGGUCUAAUUUUACCGCAAAAUCAUUGAUUUUAAAGAGUAGAAUCUGGGGCAUUCCCAUUCAUCUUUAGGCUCAUUCAUCUUUCAGCAUCUUAACUCUUAUUAUGAACUUGUACAUUUCCUAACCUCCUUUUCCAUAUCAAGUCCCUGAUUUUGAAUUGUAUUAACUUUUAUAACAAAGUUUCUUGCUGAUGUUCGAAACUUCAAUACAUGCAUUAGCAUGCAAAAAAUUUGAAUGUGUUUUGCAGGAGGCCUUUGUUUGCGGAGCCUUGUGCACGGACGGGCCGGCGAUGAAUAUUUUGUUCAGUAUAUUCUCUUAAUUUACUUAAUAGGGGCAAUUAUUUAUAUACUCCUGAAAAAUUUUCGACAUUCUGAUUUAUCCUUCUUAGAAGGCUAAUAUUAAAAAUAUCUUUUUUACGUUCCAACAUAUUCAAAUAUGCUUCUAGAGUAAACUUUAUUAUUUCUAUGAAAUUAUUAUUUUGCUCUUUUAAAUAUAUCUUUCUACUAUCACCGAUUUUUUUUAUUUGCCCUUAAGUUAGGAGCACAAAAAGUAUUUUGCUUUUUAGUUUUUUCAAACAUCCUAUUUUUGAAAUUUUGAGAGAUAUAUGGGCAAUUAGAAAAUAGAAUAAAACAUUUUCUUAAACUAAAAAACGAAAGAGUUUGUAGAACUAUAAAUAUUAAAACAUGUUAUUGUAUCAAAUGGAUGUUUUAUUAAAUAGAAUAAGAUUUUCGCUUUUUUUUUUAUGAAACGCUUUUUUUUUUUGCUUUUUUUUUAAUGAAAAUAGAAUAAAACAUUUUCUUAAACUAAAAAACGAAAGAGUUUGUAGAACUAUAAAUAUUAAAACAUGUUAUUGUAUCAAAUGGAUGUUUUAUUAAAUAGAAUAAGAUUUUCGCUUUUUUUUUUAUGAAACGCUUUUUUUUUUUGCUUUUUUUUUAAUGAAAAUAGAAUAAAACAUUUUCUUAAACUAAAAAACGAAAGAGUUUGUAGAACUAUAAAUAUUAAAACAUGUUAUUGUAUCAAAUGGAUGUUUUAUUAAAUAGAAUAAGAUUUUCGCUUUUUUUUUUAUGAAACGCUUUUUUUUUUUGCUUUUUUUUUAAUGAAAAUAGAAUAAAACAUUUUCUUAAACUAAAAAACGAAAGAGUUUGUAGAACUAUAAAUAUUAAAACAUGUUAUUGUAUCAAAUGGAUGUUUUAUUAAAUAGAAUAAGAUUUUUUUAUUAAAUUUUAAAUUUGUCUUUAAUUGAAAAUUAUAAACUAUUGUGAGGAGUAGUUAGUUUACAUGUUCGAAUAAUUCCUNUUUUUUUUUUUUUGUUCUUUGCUUUUUCUUUUUUCUUUUGUUUUGGCUGUAUUGAGAUGUUACCACUCCUCACCUCAUCGACACCUCAUCGAGGUAUAUAACAAGCUAACAAAUUAUGGAAAAGUAGGAAAAAAAAAAAAAAUCCAUCCAUCGCUAUACCCCAAGUAUAAAAAUUUUUGGUUUAAAAAACUAAAAGGAAAAGGCAAUUAUCAUGUAAGGCCUAAGGAUUGUGCUAUGUCCAAUGUAAAUUCCAAAUUGUAUAGAGUUGAGUUAGAAUACUAUCGAUAGCAAAUGAGCUCCGUUGCCACUCAUUUAUUUUCGAUGAUGGAGCCUCCAAAUCGAUGAUCGGCACCGUUGAAUAUAAUCUAUACCACUUGAAGUGUUUUCCGAUAUUGUUCUCUUAUUCAUCGAGUGGACACAAAAAUGAACGGCUGAAAAUAAAUAUUCUUUAAAAAGUGAUGAUAGGAGUCUUGUAAUCAAGAUCAAGAGUAUAGAUCUUGUUUUAAAUAGUUUAAAAAAUUUUUCAACAAAAAUUCAAUUGAUUUGGAUAUCUUUACGCCGUUAAACGAGAAAACGCCACAUAUUGACUAUUAAAAUUACAAAUUUUGAAACCCUUUGAUCAUUAGGCAAAUGAUGUCGAAAAGAUUUGAAAUUUGAUUUCUAAACACUUCAAGUGAUAUAAAUCAUGUUCAACGGUGCCGAUCGUCGAUUUGGAGGCUCUAUCAUUGAAAAUAAAUGGGUGGCAACGGAGCCCAUUUGCUAUCGAUAGUAUUCUAGCUCAACUCCAUAUAUAUAUAUAUAUAUAUAUAUGUAUAUAUAUAUAUAUAUAGCUAGACUUGUAUACUAUCGGUAAUACGGAGGCCUCCGUGCUACCAAAUUGUUUUCAAUGAUGCGGUUUCUAAAGCGACAAUCAGCUCUGUUAGACUUGAUUUAUACUAUUAAAAGUAUUUGGAAACUAAAUUUCAUAAUUUUUUGACAUCAUUUGGCUAGUGAUCAAAAGGUCUCAAAAUUGAUAAUUUUAAUGAUAGAUGUGACGCGUUUGUGCAUUUAACGGUGUAAAAUAAUCCAAAUCUGAUAAAAUUUUUAUAGAAAUUUUUUUUUUUCACUAUUUAGAGUAAGAUCAGUAUCUCUGAUCUUAAAUUCAAGUUUUUUAUCAUCAUUUUUUAUGAGAUUUUUAUUUUCAGUCGUUCAUUUUUAAACUACUUGUUUGAUAGGUAAAUAAUAUCGAAAAAUUAUGAAAUUUAGUUCCAAAUACUUUCAAUAGUAUAGAUCAAGUCUAACGAAGCCGAUCGUCGAUUUGGAAGCCGCAUCAUUGAAAACAACUUGGUAGUACGGAGGCUUCCGUGCUACCGAUAGUAUACCAGCCUAGCUCUCUCUCUCUCUCUCUCUCUCUCUCUAUAUAUAUAUAUAUAUAUAUAUAUAUAUAUAUACAUAUACACAUGUGGAUAUAUGUAUACAUGUGUAUAUAAACAUGUAUAGGCUAGGGCUACUAUACUCUUAUGAGUAUAGAGCCCUUCAUAUUCAUAAGUUGUUUUCAAUGAUGGAGCUUCCGAAUUGACGAUCCACUCCGUUAAAUAUGAUCUAGAAUAUUUGAAACUUGUAGAAAAUAAAUUUCGUAAUUUUUCGAAAUCAUAAUAAAGUUCAUCAAGCGGUUAUAAAAUGAACGGUCAAAAUCGAACGAUGUCUUAAAAAUAGAUGAUAGGAUCUUUUAAUUUAAGAUCGGAGUUAUUGAUCUUUAUCUACGUAGUGAAUAGAAUUUUCUAUCAAAAAUUCAACCGAUUUCGAUUCUUUUACACCGUUAAACUAGUAAAUAUCCCAUACCCGCCGUUAAAAAUUGUCAAUUUUGUGACGUUUUGAUCGUAAGGUAAAGGAUGUCGAAAAAUUAUAAAUUUGAUUUCUAGACAUUUUAAAUGCUCUACAUAAUAUUUAACGGUGUUGAUCGUCGAUUCGGAAGCUCUAUCAUCGAAAACAACUUAUGAGUACGAGUGCGUGCGAUCGAACUGAUAAGAGUAUAGUAGCCGAGCUCUCUCUCUCUCUCUCUCUCUCUCUCUCUCUCUCUCUCUCUCUCUCUCUAUAUAUAUAUAUAUAUAUAUAAUUGGACUCUCUCUUUCUCUCUCUCUCUCUCUCUCUCUCUCUCUCUCUAUAUAUAUAUAUAUAUAUAUAUAUAUAUAUAAUUGAGCUCUUAUGCUUUUAAAAGUAGUCAUUGGUGCUUGUAAGUUUUCGGCCCUUGGAUUAAGGGAUGUGCGGUCAGGAUGAUGUGGGCCCUCUAGGGUUGAGUGGGUGGUUAGUUGAAUAGUAUAAUCUAACGGUUGAAAAUGAUCAAAAGCAUAGAUCUAACGAUAAAAAAUUUACAAAUACCAAGUGCUUGAUGCUUUUACAAGCACCAUAGCCGGACUAUAUAUAAAUAGAGUGAGGCUACUAUGCUAUCGGAAGCACGGAGCCUUCCGUGCUUCCAGCUCGUUUUUGAUAUUGCGACUUUCGAAUCGUCGANAUAUAUAUAUAUAUAUAUAUAUAUAUAUAUGUUUUGGACUUUGGUAUUGGCCGUAGCCUGUUUAUCAGUUCAAUGAUGGACCCAAACCAUAAUUAUUUUUUUUUUUUUUUUUUUUUUUGGGACCCACUCCUCUCUCUCUCUUGCUUUUUUUUUUUUCAUCUCUUCUUUUUUUAGAGUGUUGUGGGCCACAUACAAAAAAAUAAAAUUUUAAAUUUAAAUUUAAAUUUAAAUUUUAACUUUUAACCGAGUCUCUUCUUAUUUUGAUUGAUUGUGGGCCGCAUAUAGAAAUUAAAAUUUUGAAUUUGAAUUUAAAGCUACAAUUUUGAUUUAAAGUUGAAUUAAAAUUUUGAAUUCAAAUUUAAAGUUUAAGUUUGAAUCUUAAAUUUGAAUAAUUUUUUAUUUCAAAUUUAAAUUUUUUAUUUUGAUUUUGAUAUUUCAAUUUACAUUUAAAAUUUAUAAAUAUAUGAUUUGGGAAUCAAAAUAAGAGCUCUCCUUAUUUGGGGAAUUUUGUGGGUUUCACAUUCUUUUUUUUUUUUAAUUGAGGGUCAAUUGCACCAUUUGUCUCAAUCUUUGCAUAAUUUUUACUUUAGUCCCUUAUAUAUAUAUAUUUUUUACAAUCAAGUUCUCACCUUUUGAUUUUAUAGCGAUUAUGUCCCAACUGUUAAAUCCCUAUAGUUUCGCACUUUCUUAUUUUAGUACCCUAUGGUUUAAAGUGUAUCAAUUUAUUUCCUUAUUUUGGAGGAUUGUGGGACCCACAUGUAAAUUUUUUUUAUAAAUUAAUCACAUAUUGGUCCCAACCUUUUCACUAUUUUUUAUUUUGGUUUUCAAUCUUUUUUUUUUGUAAUCAAAUUUUCGACCCUCUUAAUUUCAUCGCAAUAAAAUGGCAUUGUUAAAAGAGAUUUUAGAAUUAACGAUAUUCUCAUACUAUCGCCUAUAUAGCUUUCUUUUGCAUGUCAACGUGAGUCUAGUUUUUUUUACGAAUUAAUCGCAUAUUGGUCCCAAUCUUUUUACUAUUUUUUAUUUUGGUUCUUUAUUUUUUUCUUUGCAAUUAAAUUUUCGAAUCUCUUGAUUUCAUCGCAAUAAAAUCGCACUAUUAAAAGAGAUUUUAGAGUUAACGAUAUUAUCAUGCCAUCAUCUAUGUAGCUUUUAUUUUUAUAUCAAUUUUAGUCUAUAAACUUUAUUUUUCACUUCACUCCCAAAAAAUAAAAAUUUAAAAAUUUGAAUUUAAAUCCGAAAUUAAUCUUAAUAUUAAUUCAAAAACUUAUGAAUAUAAAAAAAUCUAUACUCAUAAAAGUAUAGUAGCUGAACUAUAUAUAUAUAUAUAUAGAGUGGGCUGGUAUGCUUAUGGAAGUACGGAGCCCUCCGUGCUUCUAAGUUGUUUUCGAUGUUCGGACUUUCGAAUUGACGAUCGGCUCCGUUAGAGUUGAUCUAGAGUAUUUGAAGUACCUAGAAAACAAAUUUGUGAUUUUUCGGAUUCAUUUGCCUUAUGAUCGAAGGGGCUCAAAAUCAAUUAAUUUUAAAGGCCGUGGUGAGCCGGUUGCAAGUUUAACGGUGUUUGUGAAAUAUCCAAAUCACAUAAAAUUUGAUAGAAAAUUCUUAUAUACCAUAUAAAACAAGAUCAACAACUUUGAUCUAAAAUUUUAAUGUUAUUCUCAUAUUUUGUAAGAUUUUUAUUCAGCCGUUGAUUUUGAGCCACUUCGAUCUGUAGCAAAUGAUAUCGAAAAAUCGCAAAAUUUAUUUUCUAGAGUACUUCAUAAUACUCUAGAUCAAGUCUAACGGAGCCGAUCGUUGAUUCGAAAGUCCGAAUAUCGAAAACAAAGUGAAAGCACGUGCUUCCAUAAGCAUCUUAACCGCACUCUCUCUCUCUCUCUCUCUCUCUCUCUGUAUAUAUAUACAUUUUAAUGAUAAUAAUUUACUAUAAUAAUAGCUUCUCGCGGCAUUGCGCGAGCCCUUAGCUCCUUCUUGAGUCACAUUCAUUGCGUUGGAAUAAUGCAUCUUUUGUACCUUGUCUACAGCUUAGGACAGGAGAAAUUAAAAUCGGCUCAACCACAACUUCAAGUACUAUAUAUACCUACUACCCGACCAGCAUAACUACUACGUAGCAUAACAAUGGACUGUUCCUAAUGUAAGUGGUAAAAAAUUUUAUAGUUGGUAUUCAAGAUCUCAAAUUUGAAUCCUAAUUGAUUCGUAUUUUUGACUAAGUUUAAUUUUUUUAAAAAAGUAAACAAAACGGUAGCAUAUGCUACUUUUCUCUCCCUCUCGAGAAAAAUACACUACAUAGUGUAACAUAACUUGUUGGUUGCUAAUAUACUUUUGAAAAAUAUUUAAAGGUGUCAGCUAUUUAUUAUUGAUUAAAAUAGGCGUAAUUUUCUGUCCUAUGAUAUAGGCUAAAAGAAAACUAAUAAGUUGAAUGCAGGGUUCCAAUUCAUAACUAGACGUAAUGGCAAGAGAUCCAAAAAAAAACCUAAUGUCCAAAUGAGUUGAGUCAGAUCGGAGCCCGUGACUGCCGUGGUCCAGUUCUUAAGUGCGAUAGGUGAGCCUUUUCUAUCGCAGAGAGAAUGCGGAUACUAAGAUUUUGUUUGAGAUCAGAGGAAGAGUAUAUAGCAAAACUUGACUAUAUAAGACUCCUAAUUCGUUGGAAAUAAGAAGAUAUUUAUAAUCAAACUUUGUAUAAAUUGAAAAUCUAAUUUUGACCGUGAAUUUGGAGGCCUAAAUAAUUUUAUAUUAUGGAAGACGCAAAAAAUUCAAAAGGACUUAUAUUUAUUCUUCUCCAAUACUCUAAAAUUGAAGUCACAACUGGCCGAGGGAUGUGUAUUAAUUAAUAUGUGGCUUUUACUUAUUUACUCUCCAUUACUAUUCAAAAAUUUUCAAAUUUAUCCUAAAAUUAUCAAAAUAUCAUUCUAAAUCUCAAUUCCCAUUAAAAAAUCCUAAGAGUUUGGGGAUAUUUGAAGUGGCUUUUGAAAAUAAAUAAGGACAUGUUAGUCAACCAAGAAUAUAUUAGGUAUUUCCUAUUAAUAUUUGUCACCUAGAAGCUGUUUGGUUUUUUGAAAAAGUAUGAAAAAAAAAAUUUAAGAAAAAAAAUUUCCUCAAAAAUUUCUUUUUCAGUCUCUGCCUGUUUGUUUUUUUUUUUUUUUUUUUAAAAUGCUACUUUUUUUAUAAAGCUUCUUUCCAAAUUUCAAUAAAAACUAGCAUUUUUAUUUUUUUAUUAAAAAAAUUUAAAAGCAAAAAAAAUUUUAAAUAUUUUUUUCAAACUUUUUCGAAGAACCAAACACCCCGAAUACUCCUGAAUUUUUGAGGGAAAGAUAGUAUGUUAUCCACUUUAUUUAUUUUUUAAAAAAAAACUUAGCUAAAAAUAUAAAUCAACUAGAAUUUUCGAAUUUAAAAUCUCAGGUACUAACCACUAAAUUUUUUUGCCACUUACGUUAUGAACAGUCAGUCAAUUUGUUGUUGUUGUUGUUGUUGAAAAGACAACUUAGAUAAGCACAUAGGUAAGGUUACUAUUCCCAACCUAGGUAUUCACACUCUCCAACUACUACUAUAUUUACAACUGCGCUCAAUUUAGACGUAAUCGAUAUAUUGACAACAUGUACUUGUAAAGUAGCUGGUAUGUUGACAUUAAAAUAGAUGAUACUGUGCCACCUAGAAUAUCCUAAGUAGUGCACACCUUAUGGUGAUUCUUUUGCUAUAUAAAUAUAUAUAUAAAUACUCCUUUGCACAUUACUUAGUUAAAUCUCCAACCACACAUAUAUAGUCCAAAGUUAAGGGAAGAGCAAAAGCUAUGGCCACCAUAACCUACAAACCUAGCUUGGAGGACAUCCCCCCCUUUCUUAAAAGAAUAUGCCACCUCAGUAGUGAAGCCCUCUAUCAAGUUCUCUCUCUCUCUAUCUCUCUUUUUGUCUCUUAUUUUCUUGUUUUUCUCUCAUGCUAUAAAAUAAUACAGUAUCUGCUCGAGACGAGCGUGUACCCUCGCGAGCACGAGUGCAUGAAGGAGCUCCGCGACGCCACCGACAAGCAACCAUUGUGUGUACAAUCUUUCAUUCGCAUUUUCGUACUUUUGUGUUAAUCGACCGACUAGGGGAGCAAUAACGGUCGAUAUCGAUGUGCAUGCGUAGGCGUUGCAUGUUGACCUCCCCGGACGAAGCGCAGCUACUGGGCAUGCUGCUGAAACUGAUCGGCGCCAAGAAUACGUUGGAGGUCGGCGUGUACACUGGCUACUCCCUUCUGGCCACUGCCCUUGCGUUGCCUGACGACGGCAAGGUAAUCAUUUUUCACACCUCCAGGAGUCUGUUUGGCUCCGCUUGAGCUUCUAUAUACGAGUGCUGCUACAAGUACCCUUAUAUAUAUAUAUCCUAAAAUAUUGCUAAUGCCAUGACAAUAUCAUUAUUACACUUUAGUAAUUAAUUACCAAAUCUCAAUUACUAUUACUAAAUUCUAAGCACCAUUAUUACACCAUACAUUCUAAAUCCUAACCCCUCCACAUGGAUAACCCAAUAGUUCGGUACACCAACAUUUCUAUUUACAUAUAAUAAAAAAAAAAGUUUCCAAUUAAAUCGUCUACUUUUAAAUGUAAAAUUUUUGCAAGAUAAAAUAGCAAAUUGAUAAUUUUACAAACUACAUAUACAAUGGCAACAUGCAGACCGAGUGAUGUGAGAAUCUCCCACCUCGUAUUGAAUAUUAACUGUAUUAAACAGUGAUAGUGUAACGGUCUGACUCACUAGUAAUACCUGGUGGUUAUAUAUAUAUAGACCAAAAUUAUUAAAUGAUAUAUAUAGACUAAAAUUGUUAAGUGACGUGAGAUUCUAAAAUUAGCUCCUAUCAAACCCAUGUUAUAACUAGGGGUGGAAACGAGCCGAGCUCGAGCGAGCUUAUGUCAGCUCAAAUUCGACUUGAAAUUAAUUUCGAGCCUAAAUCUAGGCUCAAGCUCGACUUGAAAUUAAUUCGAGCCGAGCUCGAGCGAGCCUAAUUUCGAGUCGAGCCGAGCUCGAGCUCUAAACGAGCCGAUUGAAAUUCUCGACAUUAUAUAAUCAAUAGUUUAAUUUUUAUAUAACAUUACCUACAAUUUGAUGCAACAUGUCCAAUAGUUCAAAAUACAAAAUAAUUACAAGAAAUGUGAGCUAGGGUGACUGCCUGACUGGGUGAGGGUCCGAGGAAGAGCGAGAGAGAGAGAGAGGGGAAAAAAAAUUAGAAAUUUGAGAAUUUGAAUGUUAUCAUGUUUUAGGGUUAUGUGCAACAGUGAAAGUCUGAAAGAAGAGUGUGUUAUAGUAAAUUUAGGAGUUGGGCUCAAAUUCACGCGUUGUACUUUUGUUGGAUUUAUUUUAUGGACAAUAAAUAGUCAAAUUAAAUUAAAGCUAUCAUAUAAUUAAAAUACAAUAUUAUAUAUAUAUAUAAUAUAUAUAUAAUAUAUAUAUAUAUAUAAUAUAUAUAUAUAGUAUAUAUAUAUAUAUAUAUAAGCACGUAUUUCAAAUUUCGGUUUCUCGAUAGACCCAUUUUUUGGUGGGAAAAAAAAUUGAUUCCUCUUUCCUUACGUAAAAUAAAUAACAGAAUUAAACAAACUGUUAUUUCCUCUUUAUUUUUACAACAGAAAAAAAUUUAUGCUUGUCCAAAUUUUUGCCAAUCGAAGAAUUUCUACUGUGAAUUUUUAUUUAAUUCUUCUUUAUCUCUAUCUGUAAUAUAAUAUUUAUACUAUCUAUCUAUAUCUAUAUUAUCUAUACUAUUUAAAAUAAAUUAAAAUAAUUGUUACGUGCAUUUGCACGUACGCUCAACUAGUAUAUAUAUAUAUAUAUAUAUAUAUAUAUAUAUAUAUAUAUAUAUAUAUAUAUAUAGAAUUGAGCUCCUAUACUUUUGAAAGUAUCAAGUUAUUGAUGCUUGUAAAUUUUUAGCCAUUGAAUUAAGAGAUAUGCGGUUAGGAUGAUGUAGGCCCCCUAGGGUUGAGUGGGUGGUUGGUUGAAUAGUAUAAUCUAAUGGUUGAAAAUGAUCUGAGGAGUAGAUCUAACGGUACAAAACUUACAAGUACCAAGUGUUUGGUGCUUUAACAAGCACCAUAGCUGCACUAUAUAUAUAUAUAUAUAUAUAUUCGAGCUAUUCGAGCUUUUCGAGCCUAAUUCGAACGAGCCGAGUAAUACUCAAGCUCGGCUUGAAAUGAAUUUCAAGCCUUUUAUUUUGUUCAAGCUCGGCUCAUUCAAUUUCGAGUCGAGCUCGAGCGAGCCGAAUAUCGAGCCGAACACGAGCCGGCUCGCUCGUUUGCCAGCCCUAGUUAUAACAUACCCAUGUUAUAACAUUUUGCUUCCAUUAUACCAAAAUAAUUAUCUGGAUACCUCGUUUUGUCCAAACCAUCAAAAUCCACUUUCCGCUGGUAUUCAGAUCUAUUACUAAAAUAACAACCCAGGCCGACGCAUUUGGACCAAAAUAAUUAUCUAGAUACCUCGUUUUGUCCAAACCAUCAAAAUCCACUUUCCGCUGGUAUUCAGAUCUAUUACUAAAAUAACAACCCAGGCCGACGCAUUUGGACCAAAAUAAUUAUCUGGAUACCUCGUUUUGUCCAAACCAUCAAAAUCCACUUUCCGCUGGUAUUCAGAUCUAUUACUAAAAUAACAACCCAGGCCGACGCAUUUGGACCAAAAUAAUUAUCUAGAUACCUCGUUUUGUCCAAACCAUCAAAAUCCACUUUUAGCGGGUAUUCAGAUCUAUUACUAAAAUAACUACCCCGCCGACGUAUUUGGUCCAAACUAUCAGUUUAAUUAUUAUUAUUAUUAUUAUUAUUAAAAUUCAUGAUCAUGAUUUCUUAUAUAUCCAAAGGAUAUUGUACAUUCGUAAUUGAUUAAUAUUUUAUUUUUAUACUGUAGAUAUUAUAUCUAAUCAUAAUUUUAUUUUUUAUUCGAUGUGGGACUAUUUAAUUAUAGAUAGGGCAUCUAACCCCAUUAAGAGAUAUCGUACAUAUAGGCAAUUAAUUAGCAUUUCGUUUUCGUUUUUUUUUUUUAUUUUAUUUUUUAUUAUUAACUGUAGGUAUUGGCUAUGGAUAUCAAGAGGGAGUACUACGAGAUAGGGCUCCCGAUGAUCAAGAAGGCUGGCGUCGCGCACAAGGUCGACUUCCGGGAGGGCCCCGCGCUGCCCAUGCUCGACCGGCUUCUAGAAGAUGUACGUCGGCAUGCAGUUUUUUUUUCUUUUUUUUUUUUUUUUUUUUUUUUGGGCUCAAAUUUCUUUGGGAAAACUUUAAAAACCCCUCCUGUGAUUUCACACUUUUUUAUUUUAAUAUCAAGUUAGUAUCCUGUGGUUUCGCACUUUCUCACUUUAGUAUCCUGUGGUUUAAAAUAUAUCAAGUUAGUACUCUGUGGUUUUAUUUUGUAUCAAGUUAAUACCCUAUGGUUUUAUUUUUGUAUCAAGUUAGCACCGUGUGAUUUUUAAAUCAUAGGGUACUAAAGUGAGAAAGUGCGAAACCACAGGGUACUAAAGUGAAAAAGUGCAAAACCACAUGAUACUAAUUUGAUACACUUUACAUCAUAGGGUACUAAAGUGAAAAAGAGUGAAACCAUAGGGGGUAUCGAAGUUUUCCCAAUUUCUUUUACAACCAAUAACAAGAUAAAAAUAAUAAAAAUAGUAAAUAAAUUGUGAUAUGUAUGUUUAAGCUUUAAAAUUGGCUGUAGGGAUCAAGACGGGCAGAGUAGGCGUGUCAAUAGAUACAGAUACCCAAAAUUUUAUUUAAAUUUGGAAUCGGAACUGAACAGAUUUAUCUGAUACUAAACGGAUAUAGUUUCAAAUACGGGUAGAGAAAACGAAAACCCAACAGAUUUACACUCGGGUAUUGAUUUUGCCCGUAUUCAACCCGAUUCAAACCAGAAUUAAUUUUAUUCUUGAUAUUAUAUUUGAAUUUGUAUUUUAAAAAUUUAAAUUUAAUAUGAUAAAGAGAAAUAAUUAUUUCGGGUUUCGAAUUGUUAGUCGGGUUCAGGUUUGGAUAUGGGUUUUUAAAAUUUGUUAGACUCUAGUUCGGGUUUGGUUUGGGUUGAGUUUCGUGUUUGGUAGUCGUGUUCAGAUCGGGUUUUUAAAAAUUCGCCCCGAAUCCGACUCAUCGACAUUUCUAAUUUGUUUGCUCAAAUUUUUUUACAACAAUAGCAAAAUUAAAUUAAAUUCUGAUCUGUAUAUAAUAUGGAGAGUUUCUUUCUCUAUCUGUUUAAGUUUUAAGGUUGGUUGUCGGAAUGAAAACAGACAGGGAGGGAUUCCUAUCUCAAAAAUAAUGAAAAACUUAAAUUAAGUUUUUCAUUAUUUUUGAUCCCUACCUACUGCUCCGAAUGGGGGAUCGAGGUAAGAGCUCUACCAAUCUGAAUCCAUUUGUAUUUCUAGUUUGCUUAGACUUUUUCAAAAUAAAAAAAAAAACAAAAUUUAAGAACCUCGAGUAAAUAUAUAAAAGGUUAGGGACUUUUUUCAAAAUCGUUUUAAAAAUGAGGAGUCUAAAUAAAAAAAUUUUCAAUUAUUAUUUAAAGACUAUUUGAUUAUAUAUAGUUGCUACUAUAUUCCCCAUAUAAACCUAUGUUGUAAUUCCAGUUUUACUGUUUAAUUUGCUACAUUAAUUAGCAUUUAACUGCUAGAGUUGAACUACAAAAAGGGGAUUAAUUACAACAAAUGAAACUGUACUAAAAUUGACUGUAGUUCUAACUAAUAAUAGCAGGAAAAAAUAAUUUUAAAUAAAACAUAAGGUUACCUACCUAAUUAAUCGCUUUCUAAAUAACUUUUUUUCCCCUCUUUUAGGAUUAAUCUUAUCAUGGCAUAUGUAUAAAAUAAUAAAAUUUGUAAACACAAUUUCCAACCACAUACAGCCAAAUUAAUUAUUUAAUUAUAAAACUAUUUUUCAUUAUAUUUAACCAAAUCUAAUAUAUUCAUGUACAAAUAUUGUAUUUUUAACUGCAUGUAUUUUUAAUUAUUAAAUAUACGAUCGUAUCGAAUCAAACGGUCCUUAAAUUAAUAAAUUAUGUAUUGGUGAUGGUCACUGAUAUGUCACUGUUUUGUCAAUCAUCCAGUUGAAUAUGAAUAUCAAAAAAUGAAUUGUAAAUGAAACUAAACAGUCUUUCGGCUCCUCUCACUCCCUCUCACCACCAUUCUAUAUUAUUGCCUACUUUUUCUUUAAAUUCAAUUAUUAUCUACUCACCCCUACAUUCUCUCUUAUAAGAUUUAAUUAUUAAAUAUUUCAAUUCUUAUUUAGAUAUAUAAUUAUAUGCUGCAAUAAAAAAAGAUGUAUAGCGAUACUUUUAAAUAUCGGUAUAUGUCAAAAAAAGUACUGUUGGCUAAAUUAUCGAUAUUUUUUAAAAGUGUUGCUAUAUGAGGGGUCCCUAUGCCUUCGUUUGGUUCGGGUAUAAGCAAGAACUAGUUAUACCGGGGAUAGGUAUUAGAAUGGAUUUUCGUAGGAACAAGAGUAUUUUUUUAUUUGGAUGAAAAUAUGAGUAUAAGCUGGAACUAGAAAAAUUGUGUGUGGAUGAAAAUCUGAGUAUAAGGUGGAAUAGUUAGAAGUUAUAGAUAGAAAAUAAUAAUUUUAUCUCUAUAAUUGAAUUUAACAUUUUAAACUAAUAAUUUUAAAUUAAAAAUUUUAACUUUUAAAUUUUAAAAUUUGAAAUUAAAAUUAAAACUUAUAAUUUUCAAAAUUUAAAUUUUAAAUAUCAAAUUUUAAAUUUAAAGAUCAAAUUUAAAUUUGAAAGAUAUAAAAUAUAAAAUUUUAUAUUUUAAAUCUAAAAAAUUAAAUUUAAAAUUUAAAAAUUGCAAAUAUCAAAUUUAUAAUUUAAACAUUAAAAUUUAUAAUUUAAAAUUAUAAAUUUAAAUUUUAAAAAACUAAAUUAUAAAUUUUAGAAAUUAAAAUUAAAAUUAAAAUUAAAAUUAAAACACUCUCUCUCUCUCUCUCUCUCUCUCUCUACCUACAACCCGGUAAGUUCCACCCCCCCUAAAUUGUGUUUGGGUACAACAGGGGGAUAACCCCCUUAUCCCCCUCUUAUCCCCCCUCUUGUACACAUUCCAAACAGGAUGUAUAGGUAAAGCCGUUUAAAUAUUUAGCACCUACUCUUCCAGUGAUCUGUGAUGGAGGGAUACGUAGCGAUCGUAAUCCUUUACGGUUUCUGCGAGGUCCUCGCGAUCGAACUCUAGCCGCCGGAACUCUACCUCAUCGGCUGCGACGACGGAGGAGGAGAAGAGCAGAUGAUGAUUAAUUUUUUUUUUUUUUAUUUGUAAUCGGGCUGAGUGGGUUCGGUGUUGUUUGUUGAAUAGAGAAACUUUUUGUUUUGGAUUGGAUUGAGCUUUAUAUUUAGGCUUUAAUAUAUUUUUUUUAAAAAAAUUGGCAUAAAUAAAAUACUUAUAUAAAACUGUCCUAAAAAUGUAUUCCUAUAACCUAAUUUUGUUGUAGUGUAUAUUUUCUAUUCACACAAAUUAGUGCAUGCAUGCAUGCAUGCAGGAGAAGAAGCACGGGUCGUUCGACUUCGCGUUCGUGGACGCGGACAAGGACAACUACCUGAACUACCACGAGAGGCUGGUGAGGCUGGUGAGGCCCGGCGGCGUGAUCGGCUACGACAACACUCUGUGGUGCGGCACGGUGGCGGCCGACACCGAUGCCGUCGCCGCCGGCGGCGCAGGCGCCAGAGUCUUGGCCUACUACCGCCACUUCGUGCUGGAGCUCAACGCGUCGCUAGCUGCCGACCCCCGCGUCGAGAUCUGCCACCUCACCAUCGGCGACGGCCUCACCCUCUGCCGCCGGAUCAAGUGACUUAAAACUAGCAACAUCUCGAUAAUAAGUUAUGAGUAAUGUUAUAUUUACAAUCGAAAGGAAUUGUAAUCUUACAGCUCUACGACAACUAAAAAAAUUUGGUCUAUGAAUGAGAAUGUUGUAGGAUUACAAUCUAGCUAUUAUGGCGAGUUGAAUAAAUGCUAUUCCACCCUUAGAUAAGAGUUUGUAUGAUUACAACUCCUUUUCUUUCUCUCUCUUCAUUGGUGAAUAAAUUAUAGUUCUCUGAUGCGUGCAUGUACUUUCUCACUCUUGCUCUCUAUGUGUAAAGUAACAUAUGGGAGUUAUCUCGUAGGUCAGAGGCUCAAUCUCUCGUGUACUAGUGCUUUCGGACAAGAAAAGGACAUAUAUAUAUAUAUAUAUAUAGUAUAAAUAUUAUAUUAUAUAUAUAAUAUAUAUAUUAUAUAAUUAUAUAUAUAUAUGUAUGCGUAGUAAAUAUACGUCCAAAUGUCCAUAAUAUUAUUAGAAAAAGUUAUAAAUUUUUAAUUAUUUUUUAAUUUUAGGAUAUAUUUUAUAUGAUUGCUAAUAUGUUGUAAUUAAAAUUUUAAAAUAAUAAAUCACGCUAUUAAGAAGAUUAUACUUUAAUGAUAAUAAUUAACAAUAAUCUCUAUGCAAAAAUUACUUUUGAAAUUAAUAGAAAAAUAAAAUCUGUUAGGAAAUAAAUUUUGAAAUUAAAUAGAAAUAAAAUGUUUAUCUUUAAAAAGAAAAUAUAUUUUGAAAUUAAAUAGAUAAUAUCUAAAAAGAAUAUUUUAAAAUAAAUGGGAAACUAUCUUUUAUAGGAUUUUCACAGUAAUUUUGUUUAGAAAACUUAUUUUUGAAAUUAAUAGAAAAUUUAUAUUUUAGGAUUUUCAGUAUCAGUAAUCUGUUUAGAGAACUUAGUAUUCAUUGCUGUUCUAUUUCUAUUUUUAUUCUUAUAUUUAAAUUUUCGUACGGAAAGAGGAAAUGGGCGCUAAUUUUUCCGCCGAAAAUGGGUUGUCGACAGACCAAAUUUGAAUAUAGUGCCUUUAUAUAUAUAUAUUAUAUAUAUAUAUAUAGAUAUAUUAUAUAUAUUAUAAUUUAUAUAUAUUUGUUAGAAUUAUUUAUUAAAAAAAGUGUUUGAGAGUACUAAAUACAAAAAAAGCCUUAUUAUUUAUUAUGUUGUGGUUGUGGUAGACUUAUAAAACCGGUUUGGUUCGCGAAAUUUAAACUUUUCACUAAAAAUUAACUUCUCGAAAAUUUUAUUUUUAUGAUAAAAUUUCUGUCUUAUGAAAAUAAUUUCGUUUGAUAUAUUAUAUCAGCGUUUGGUUCAAUACAAAAAUUAUCCAACUAUAUUAAUAAAAUUUUCUGAAUAUCCUUUUUUAUAGAAAGAGAUUAUAUAUAUAUAUAUAUGUACCAUUUCAUACUGAAUAAAUCAUAAAAAAUCAUAAUUAUUUGAAUAUAAAAUCUAUUAAAAAAUUUCUAAAUUUAGGGGACUUAAAAGUUUGUUUGUCUCUUGUAUCAAUUUAAAUCUUUGGGAUAGAUAUAAAAUUUGCAAAAUAAUAUUUUAGUCUUUUUAAAUCAAAUAAUACAAAAUUCUACUAAGGGAGGAGGUGAGAUUUUAACUCUCAAGAUUUAAGGAAUUAUAAUUAAAAUUCUACAAAAUUUUUUAAUUCCUUCCACGUCAGAUUCCUGUGACAAAAUAUAUACAAAAUUUCACAAUUCCAACGUCCUAUUCUCAAAUAUCUUAAAAAAUAAAAGAAGUACUAAAAUAAUUUACCCAACGAAAAGAGGCAAAAUAUAUUAUGACCCUUAAUUUAAACUGAAAAACAACAAAAUUAAUUAAACGAAACAGAUAAUUCUGGUUUGUUUUGAUUUAAUUUAGUUUUUAAUUCUAGAUAAUAAAAAAAUUUAAAUCAAACAGUUCUUAUUUAAUUUGGAUUAAAAAUUCUGAAAAACCAACCAAGUCAAAAAAAUAAAAAAUAUGCCACGCUAUCAUUUAGCACAUCAAUAUAAUCCUAAAAAUUUGGAACCUAGUUGCUUUAUAUUUUUUUACUAAGUUUAUUUUUUAAAAAAUUUGAAACCCGAUUUCACCUACUAAAUUGAAUUGUAGGAUUUUGACUGCAAUAAUUUAAAAAAUUUAGACCAGAAAUUACUAUAAAUUAGAAUUUAAAGACUAAAGAGUCACACACCUCAUAGUUUGUAGAUGAUCUCAUUAUCUUUAAAAAUUCAAAUAUUCAAACCAAGUAACAAAACCGAAAGCGAAUCAAAAUUUUUGGUUUGGUUUAGUUUUUGGUACUUUUAUAUAAUAUGAGGAUAUUUGAUUGGGUAUUGUAAAUAGUUGGUGUUAUAACCCUAGUUAGUAAAUUCACGAAUUAUUCGCGAAUUUUUUAAGAUACGAAUUAAACGGUCGUUUCCGUAUUUUUUCAAAAAAUUUGAAAAGAAAAUGCGUAUUUUUCGUCAAAAAUAAUUAUUCGUGAAUUAUUCGCGAUUUGCGAAUUAUUCGGCAAAAAAAACGGCAAUGGCGAUCGCGGCCGCUGGUCGCAUCGUCGCCGCUCUCGUCGCCGAACUCAACGGUGUCGUCGUCCUCCUCCUCUUCCGCCGCCCUGGCCGGCACAGAGAGCAAGAGGUCCGCGGGUUGCGUCGUCCGUCUCGCCCGAGGUCGUCUGCGGAAAAUCGCGGCGUUGGAUCGUCGGAAAAUCACGGCGUUGGGACCUCUUUCAUAGAGCCUCGUGGACAGCAUGAGAGGAAGGUUCAAUCUCAUGAUUAUAUAUAUAUAUAUAUAUAUAUAUAUAUAAAAUUUUAUUUAUAAAUAUAUAUUUAUUUAUUAUAUAUAGUAUUUUAUUUUUAUAAAAAAUAUUAUUAUAUAAUAUUUUAUUCAUAAAUUUAUAAUUAUUUAUUAAUAUUUCUAAAUAUAUAACUCUUAUAUAUUAUUAAUAUAUAUUUAUUAUAAUUUUAAAUAUAUUUAAUCUAUAUAUAAAAAUUAUAAUAAUAAUACAUAUAGUAUAUUAAUUAUUAUAUAUAUAGCCGAAUUUUUUAUUCUGAAUUUUUAAUUGGUGAACGUAUAAUAUCCGUAUAAAUCACGUAUCCGAAUAAUUGUCGAAUCCGUUUUUUAACCAUAUUUUUCAACGAAUUUUAAAAUUAAAAGACAAAUUUUAUCCGAAUUAUAUCCGUACCGAAUUUUUGCCGAAUCCAAAUUAACUAACUAUGAGUUAUAACUACAACAAAGAACAUAUUUGAUUAGAUAUUAUAAAAAAGUGCUGCUACAGGUAUUCUAGAUAAUAUCCUACAAUACUGUUGAUGACAUGUCAAUAUCAUUAUUAUAUUCUAAAUAUUAAUUAUUGAAUCUCAAACAUUAUAAUUAAACUUUAAGCACUAUUGGUAACAAACAGGCUUUAUUUCCGCUCAUUUAUUUUCGAUAAUGGAGCCUUCAAAUCGACAAUCGGCAUUAUUGAAUAUGAUUUAUAUCACUUGUAGCAUCUAGAAACUAAAUUUCAUGCUUUUUCGAUAUUAUUUUUUUGUCCAUUAAGUAGACACAAAAACGAACGACUGAAAAUGAAUAUUAUCUAAAAAGUGAUGAUAGAAGUCUUGUAAUCAAGAUCAAGAGUAUAAAUUUUGUUCUAAAUAGUUAAAAAAUUUUCUAACCAAAAUUCAAUUAAUUUGAAUAUCUUUACACCGUUAAAUAAGAAAACGUCUCAUAUUAAUCAUUAAAAUUACAAAUUUUCAUACCCAUUGAUCAUUAAGUCAAUGAUGUCGAAAUGACUUGAAAUUUAUUUUCUACAUAUUUCAAGUGGUAUAGAUCAUAUUCAACGAUCUUGAUCGUCAAUUUGGAGGCUCUAUUAUAAAAAAUAAAUAGAUGACAAUAAAGUUCGUUUGCUGUCGAUAGUAUCUCAGCUUAACUAUUACAAAUAGUGUGAGUUGUAACUGUGACAAAGAAGAUAAUUUUUUUUUUGGAGUUCUUGUAGGUACAAUCACCAAUAAAAGAAUAAGAGAAGUACCAAAAUAAAUUACUUAAAAAAUAUUUCAAAAUGAAUUACAAUCCUUUAUUGGUCUAAAAGCAAUGUCUCCAUGAGUUAUCAACAAACCUACCACCACCAUACAAAUUAGGGUUGUUUGUAUUUUGUACCAAUGUACAAUAAAAAGAAGAUAUUAGUCAAUUAAUAUUGCAUGAUUCUAACUAGAUUAAUUCUUGUCCUUUUGGGUAGUUAAGUAAAAUUCUUUUAUUUCUAUCAUUUUAAUAAGAGAUCUCAUCAAAAUCAAUAGCUUCAUUGCUAUCAUUAUUUGUAAAAAAUAAUCCAACCCAACAACAAAAGCAAAGACAUUAAAUUUACUAAAAUUGCAGUUAAAUUUAAAUAGAAUUUUAAUUUAAUUAACUAAAGUGUCUAAAUUCAAACCAAAUGAAAAGUAAGAGAAUGUUAAUAAAAAGAAAAAGGUUUGUGGUCUAUUCCCACCCUGUGUUAGUAAAUUCGUGUAUAAUACGCGAAUUAUUCGCGAAUUUUUGAUUAUUAGCCGAAUUAAACGGCAUGAAACGUAUUUUUCCCAAAAGUGCGAAAAAAACGCGUUUUUUUCUCCAAAAAAAAUUAUUCGCGAAUUAUUCGCAAUUCGCGAAUAAUUCGCCCAAAAAAUCGGCUCGCGAGUCGGCGACGAGGAGCGUCGUCGUCCUCCUCCGCCGCCGCCCUGGCCGGUGCCUGGAGCAAGAUGGCGCGGCUACGGUUCCCACCUCGCCCGACACCGUCCGUUUUCGCCCAAAAAAAAGGCCCGCGAGUCGGCGACGCUCGUCGUCCUCCUCCUCCGCCGUUGCCCUGGCCGGCGCCGGGAGAAAGAGGGUCGCGGCUACAGUUCCUAUAGUCCCAUCUCGCCCGACGCCGUCUGCUACGUUGCGUGCUGUCCGUGGAAAAUAAAAAAUAUCAAAAGUAAAAAUCGCGGCGUUGCGCGCAGCUUUGCAGGGAAAAGAAUAUCGCGGUCCACGAGGCCACAUCAGCCUCGUGGGCCGGAUGAGAGGGAGGUCUUAUUUCAAAAUCCACCCACAAUCACUCCGCAAAAUACCUCUACUAAAAAAAUACACAUAGACAUUGCUAAAAUGGAAUAAAAAUAUACAACAUAUACAUUUGCAAAAAUAUAAGAAAAUAUCUAGCAUUGACAUAGCUAAAAAUUGAAGAAACUAUCUAACAUAUAUAUAUAUAUAUAUAUAUAUAUAUAUAUAUAUAUAUAUAUAUAUAGAAUUAGGGCUGGAAUAUAUUAAUAGUAAAAUGCUCUUUUUGCUAUCAAGUUUUUAACCCUUGGAUGAAAAAUUAUAGGGUCAGGAUGAUAUUAGUCAGUUAGAGUUGAGUGGUCUCCUUAGGGUUGAGUGGUCAUCACUGGGUUAUAGUAUUUAAUCCAAUGGUUAGAAAUAAUGAAAAAAGGGGAUCCAAAGGCUAAAAAACGUAGCAACAAUAGGAUUUUGCUACUAAUAGUAGCCCAGUCCAAUUCAUAUAUAUUUUCGAAUUAUAUGUACCCGCAGGAUUAAUUUGGAAAACUGGUAGAGAUAUGCAACAGCAACCGUUUUUAUUGAAAACAUUUCUCUAAUGAAUUCCUAGGAACCUCUAUAGUAAAUGGAAUAUACCGAAUUGUGAUCAAUCAAAUAUUGCAAAGUCCCGUAUUUUUACCGUUCGGAAUUGGACCAUAACGGAAUUUCUGUCUAUACCAGCACUAAUAUAAUCAAUUGGGAGGAAGAUCGGAUUCGAAAUUGAUAGAAAAACAAAGAUAUGGGCCCGUGUGAGUAGGAAACAAAAAAUAUCUAUUCUAGUUCUAUCAUCAGCUAUGUGUUCGAAUCUAAGAGAAAUUCUAAAUAAGGUUUCUAGGAAUUCAUUAGAGGAAUGUUUCCAAUAAAAACGGUUUGCUCUUGCAUCUCUCUACCGGUUUUCCAAAUUAAUCCUCGGUACAUAUAAUCCGAAGAUAUAUAUAAGAAUUGGACUGGGCUACUAUUAGUAGCAAAAUCCUAUUAUUGCUACCAGUUUUUUAGCCUUUGGAUCAACUCUUUUCAUUAUUUCUAACCAUUGAAUUAAAUACUAUAACCCAGUGGGGACCACUCAACCCUAGUUGGACCACUCAACUCUAACUGACUAAUAUCAUCCCGACCCUAUAAUUUUUCAUCCAAGAGUUAAAAACUUGAUAGCAAAAAAAACGUUUUACUAUUAAUAGUAUUCCAGCCUAAUUCUAUAUAUAUAUAUAUAUAUAUAUAUAAUUUUAUUCAUUAAUAUUUUUAAAUGAUAUUAUUAAUAUAUAUUUAUUAUAAUUUUAAAUAUAUUUAAUUUAUAAAUAAUAAUAAUAAUAAUAAUAAUAAUAUAUAGUAUAUUAAUUAUUAUAUAUUUAUUAUAUAGCCGAAUUUUUGAUCCUGAAUUUUUAAUUGAUAAACGUAUAAUACCCGUAUAAAUCACGUAUCCGAAUAAUAACCGAAUCCGUUUUUUAGUCAUAUUUUUCAAUGAAUUUAAUAAUUAGAAGAGGAAUUUUAUCCAAAUUAUAUCUGUACCGAAUUUUUGUGGAAUCCCAAUUAACUAACUAUGUUCCCACCUAACCUAUAGUUGAGAAAUUAUUGGCUACUUCACGUGCAAAGGUUGUGGUCUAUUUCCACCUAACCUAGAGUUGAGAAAUUAUUGGCUACUUCACGUGCAAACUAGUCAAAUACUCUUUAUACGCUGCACCUAAUAUGUACCGAACAAUAUUAAAAUUAAAAUCUAAUUUAAUAUAUAUGACCUAUAAAAUUUAAAGAGGCUGAAAUGCUCAAGUAUUAAAUAAGUUUUAAGAAUCGACGAUAAAAAAAAAAGUUAUUGUAAAUCUAUGUUCAUAAUUUAUAAUUUUUAAUAUACGGAAUUUUUUUAAUGCCAUAGGACAUAUUUUUUGGAUUGGAUUUUAAAUUUUAUGCCUCCAUAAAUAAGGAUUUUGAGAAAUAAAUGAAGGUAGGAAACUCACCUAAUUUAGGUAGUUAGUUACUGAACAUUAUAUAUAUAUAUAUAUAUAUAUAUAUAUAUAUAUAUAGAGAGAGAGAGAGAGAGAGAGAGAGAGAGAGAGAGAGAGAGAGAGAGAGUGUGUGUGUGUUAGGCUGGUAUAUUAUCGGUAGCACGGAAGCCUCCAUACUACUAAGUUAUUUUUAAUGAUGCGGCUUUUAAAUCGACGACCGGCUCCGUUAGACUUGAUCUAUACUAUUGAAAGUAUUUGAAAACUAAAUUUUCUAAUUUUUCGGUAUCAUUUACCUAUCAAACGAGUAGUCUAAAAAUGAAUGACUGAAAAUAAAAAUUUCAUAAAAAAUGAUGAUGAAAGACUUGAAUUUAAGAUCAGAAGCACUGAUCUUACUCUAAAUAGUAAAAAAAAAUUUCUAUAAAAAUUUCAUCAGAUUUGGAUUGUUUUACACCGUUAAAUUCACAAACGCAUCACAUCUACCAUUAAAAUUGUCAAUUUUGAGACCUUUUGAUCACUAGCCAAAUGAUGUCGAAAAAUUAUGAAAUUUAGUUUUUAAAUACUUUUAAUAGUGUAGAUCAAUUCUAACGGAGCCGAUCGUCGAUUUGAAAGCUGUAUCAUUGAAAACAACUCGGUAGCACGGAGGCCUCCGUGUUAUCGAUAGUAUACCAGCCUUGCUCUCUCUCUCUCUCUAUAUUUAUAUAUAUAUAACUCUACCCCUUGCUGAAGUAGGUUCAUUUAUUAAUGCAUUCUCACUAGGAGGCCUCCCCUUUUGUAUUCUAUAUAUAUAUGUAUUUAUAUAUACAUAUGUCAGUAUAGCCACACUUUACAUUACAUCUCCAUAAAUUUUAUAUCAAACAAAACCCUAGCUGUGGGAAGCAAGGAGGGCAUGGAGCCAACUGGGAGAGUAACUCUUCUCUAUAGUGAAGCCCUCUAUCAUGUCUCUUCUCUCUCUCCACCCUUACUUUUCUUUACAAAAAAUACUUUGCGUCGUCUCAUGGGUAUUCAUGUAUCUGUUCUUGUGCAUAAUUUACACUGUAUAUAUAUGACACCCUAAUAGUCCCGCAUUACGACAAUUUUAUGCGUGCUAAUCUGAUGCCCAUCCCGUCUCAUAUUGUGCCAGAAUGGUAUUUCGUACAGAUCCUUGCCAUUUUUGCAGUAUAUCUGACAAAUUGGGAGGUGUAGCCACAAAAGCACUAGUUUAUAUCUCUCUUUGCUUUACCUUUUUUAUUUUUAACUUGAUAUAUGUGUGUAGUUCAAGUUUUCGUCCGAUUCAUAUAGGAUAAUAUGAAAGAGUGUUAGGAGCUUAUGUGUGGCGGAUAAAUUAGAACUAAUUAACAACUGAACUUAAACAUUUUGAGCCAAUUGUUUGGACCUAACGAGUUCUUGGUGCUACUAGCUAGGCCUGGUCGUCACAAUUAGUAUCAGAACUGGUUCACUAACCGAAAAUGUGAGGUGGGCUAUAUCUGUGAUUGGUCUGACGAAAAUAUUGGGACCUGAAACAAGGGGAUUAUAUGACAUCACAAGAAUCUUAUAUUGGAUAAUGUAGGAGAAUACGAGAAGUUCAUAUAUGACGGAUACAUUAAAACUAAUGACUGGACUUAAGCUUUUCUGGCCGAUUGUUUGGACCCAAUGAAUUACUAGUGCUAGUCGGCUAGGUCACUACAGUUAAUAUCAGUAUCGGUUCAUCAGCCGAAAAUGGAAGGUAGGUAUCACAUCGCCCAGUGAUGUGGACUGUAUUUGCGAUUGGGCUAACGAGAAAAUCAAGAUCUAAUACUAAAAAAGUAUGUGACACCGAGUGCCAUAUUGGAUGACAAGUAAACUAAAUCAAACUGAUAACUGGACUUAAAUAUAAGCCAAUUCAAACUUGACAUAUUGGUAUGUCGCAGCAUCAACAGUAUAUAAAGACAAUAUUUGAAGCUACUCGUAUAGUAGUACUCUUUCCUUUAAGACUUGAUUGUUCUUCUUGAUAUUUGGUCUGUUCCGACGACAAUUACAGUACUUGCUGGAGACGAGCGUGUACCCGCGAGAGCACGAGUGCCUGAAGGAGCUUCGCGAGAUCACCAGCGAACACCCAUGGUAGUUCAUCCUCGCUAGCGGAGUUUAUUUGUAAUUUUUAAAAAAUAAAUAAGAGAUUAUUCUGAGCAAGAUCACGGUCGAUGAUCAGGAAGGUCAUGUCGACCACCCCGGACGAGGGGCAGUUCUUAGCCAUGCUAGUGAAGCUGAUUGGCGCGAAGAAUACGUUGGAGAUCGGAGUGUACACUGGCUACUCGCUCCUCGCCACCGCCCUCGCCCUACCCGAUGACGGCAAGGUACUUACUUCAUUUUGUUCUAUACUAAAGACAUUAAUCUGAUAGAAAAUAGUUUAGAAACAAUCUUUAUAAUCGAUGAUUGAUCUUCUUUGAGUAGUGCAGCUAGAAUACUAUCGAUAGCUGAUAAACAGUGGUUAUCGUCAACUUUUCAGUUCUUCGUUUCAUAAUAGUAUUACCACCAAAUAGUAAAUCCUAGUCUAAAUAGAUAGUAAAUACUAUUUCUGUACUAUAUAUCAAUAGUAUUCUAGUUUCGCAUCUUAUUUAAGUUCAUUUGUGCAGAUACUGGCGAUAGAUAUAAAGCGGGACUACUACGAGAUGGGCCUGCCGGCGAUUGAGAAGGCCGGAGUGGCGCACAAGAUCGACUUCCGCGAGGGCCGGGCUUUGCCCAUGCUUGAUCAGCUGGUGGCAGAUGUAAGAUCAUUCCCACUAUGAGGAUUUCAACAAGUGUGACCUGAUUUCGGGCCGGGUUAAUUUGAUCCGUUCGGGUCCGGGUUUAGCUCCGUGCCUAUGUAUGAGUUCGGGUCGGGUUAAGAUCCGUGCUAAGGUUUCAUGUGCCGCUCAUAUUGUUUUAAGAUUUACACUACUAGUGAAAAUCUUGAAUCUUAAAGCAGCAUGAAUGGCAGAUUAUGUGGUCUCACGGUUAUGAGAGUUCCUAAUAAACUUUCGUUCUGCCGCAUAUGGAUCUGAACUGGAUCAGGAGAAGGCGCACGGUUCGUUCGACUUCAUCUUCAUCGACGCGGACAAGGACAACUACCUCAACUACCAUGAGAGGGCGCUGAAGCUGGUGAGGCCCGGCGGCGUGAUCGGCUACGACAACACGCUGUGGAAGGGGGCUGUGGCGAUGCCGGAGGACGCGCCGAUGGAGAAGCCGCUGCGCCACUACCGCGGCUACGUGCGGGAGCUCAACGCGGCGCUCGCCGCCGAUCCCCGUGUCGAGAUCUGCCACCUCACGAUCAACGACGGCCUCACUCUCUGUCGCAGGAUCGAAUAAAACGAUAACGGAGUUUCAGUCUGGUGCUCGCCAUUUCGUCUUAUACGUCAAUCAUUCAGUGUACUAGGGCUUUGUGAAGAGUUUGGAUCGACAGUAAAAGAUAGGAUGGAGGGCAGAUAGAUGUACGAUGCGACCGGCGAACAAGCAUGCUUUAAGAGUUAAGAAUCAAACUCAAAACUGUGAUAAAAAAUUGCAAUAGUGGUGCAAUGUGACUUGUUUGAGAACACAUUCAUUUUCACAAAUAAUUUAUUGUUACUCUCUCCCACCCUAUCACCACUAUAAUGUAAUAAUAAAUAAAUAAAUAAAAAUGAAGAGCCUGUGGCAGGAGUUUACAUACUAUUUUCUUCUAGUGAAGUGGCUAUUUUUUCAAAAAAAAAAGAAAAAUAAUAAAAAAAAGUCAUUAGUUUUUUUUUCCUUUCAUAACCUACCAAAAGUAAAGAGGUUAGCAUUUGAAUCAAUGAUCGACACCGUUUCACGUGAUUUACUUUAUUUGAACACUCUAGAACUCGAAUUUUAUAAAUUUUCGAUAUCACUUAUCUAGUAUCUAAGUGGUUCCAAGGUUGACAACUUUGAAUAGCCAAUAAAAGGUAAAUUUGAGACCGAUAGAUGACAAAAUAAAUACGACAAAAUAAAUACCGUCGUAAAACGUAAAACUUACUUUAUGUAAAGUCUAAAUAAUCUAGAUCAUAUUUAAUGGUGCUAACCAUCGAUUCGAAUACCUCGUCACCAGAGAUAAUGUGAAAGUAUACGAGGAUUUUUUUUUUUUUAAGGAAUUGCAACAGAAUCAAAAGAAUUAAAAUGGAGUUUUCUUUUCCUUUUUAAGUCAUGGAAUCUCUUUUUUUUACUUUCCACCACAACAGAAACUCUGGAAAUCUGGAAACCUUAGUUAUGUUUGAAACAAGGAUCUGGAAAGACUCAGAUUAAAUAAAGGAAAAACUUCAAAAAACCCCUCUAUGAUUUCGCACUUUCUCACUUAAGUACCCUGUGGUUUAAAGUGUAUCAAUUUGUCCCCCUCUAGUUUUAUUUUUAUCUUUUCGACAACUUUUUUCUUAAUAUUUCGUUAAAUUAUAUACAAAAAAUUUCAGAUACACACCUAAAUUUAUCAAAUAUUUACUUUAGUAUCCUUUAAUUUUAACUUUGUCAUUGAUUUAAGAAAAAAAUAAAAUAAAAUAAAAUUGAUAAUAAAUAGAAAAAAACGAAACCACAGGGAGCAAAUUGAUACAGUUUAAACCAUAGGGUAGUAAUGUGAAAAAGUGCGAAACCACGGGGGGUUUUGAAGUUAUCCCUUAAAUAAAUGACUCAAUUCAACUCAUUGGCUCAGAGAAUUUGUGGUGUGGUGAAACAAAAACACAAAUCAUAAGAUUCAUAGCACUGCUCAAGGAGACCAUAAAACCUUAUUGUAAUGAUAACUAGAUCACACAUACACACACAAAAGGUUCAAAAGAAAAAAAAGACCAGUAUGGUGGUUUUAGGAUAUGGUAAAAUAAUAGUGGUAAGCUUAGUACAGUGCAAAAGAAUUCCAUGUUCUGUUCAGAAUCCUCAGAAAAUAUUUAGGCUAAAUUAUAUAUAAAAAAAAAAAAAAAAAAAAAAAAAAACCAUGCACUUAAGCCAUAACUCAGGCCUGCAAUUUGCCAUCAUCUCAAAUAGAUUCAAAAUUUUAGAAAAUUGACAAAUUAGGUUGCGAAUUUUACUAAAACGAGUAGGAAUAUCAUGUUAUUCCACACCUCAACAUCUAUUUAUUUGCAACUUAAAAAAUAAAUAAGAAAAAAAAUCAGAUAAAAGAUAUAUCCUAUUUUGCAAAUACUAUCAGAAUUGAUAGUUUAUUGAGCAAUUUUACUCAAUUUAUAUAAUUUUAUUGCAUUAUUUAUAAGUAAUUUUAUUUGCAAUCUUUGUUCUUACAAACAUCCAAAUAACUGGACCUAUUUGAGAUAAUGGCAAAACGCAAAGCGCAAGAGGAUAAUUGAUGCAAUUUUUAAUGCAACAAGGUAAUUAGGACAAGGGCUAAAGUGCAUGGGACUUUUUCAUAAUUUAACUAAAUAUUUAUGCCAAAAGCUCAUCCUACUCAUAAACUAAUAAUAUAGUGCUCAUUUUAAAGUGGUAUUUUAUAUCAUUUACACACAUAAAAUUAGCCAAUGUGAAGCUAAGAGAUAUACUCCUUUUUCACAUGUAAUUUAACCCUAAACAAACAAUCUAAAUAAACAGUGUUAUACAAAACAAUAGUACUACACUUUCAUCUACUAACUCGGUAGUAAACAUAUUAGAGGAAAUCACAACAAAACCAUGGAGAAAGAAUGCAGUAAAAAUGCAAAUUUUGCCAUAAUUAAUACCAAUUGUAACUUGACUGAAGAAGUAAAUACAUAAUCUGUAGGUGAUUUAUUUACCAAAAGAAACCACAGCCGUCAGAUUAAGAUAGGCGGCAAAAUCGAUUUUUUUUUUUUUUUUAAAACCAACAUCCUUGCUUGAUAAUCCAAGGAACAUGGAAGUAACUUAUGAAGCUUAUGGUUUUAUAUUAGUCGAAUAAGAGAGUUAAAAAUAAAAAAUAAAAAAAGUACCGUCCGAUUCUACUUAUGUCGCUAGAGCGGUGUUCUUGCAAAUAGGGCACAAGUUUUUCACCAUUAGCCAUUGUUUGAUGCACGCAGUGUGGAAGUCGUGCCCGCAAUCAAGCAAUCCGAGGUCCUCCCCAUCAACAUACUCUUCCUGAGAAAAAAAACCAAGAUACAGAAUAUAAAAUGUAAUGUACUCAUGAGCUUGUUUUGUACGAAAUUAGAUUGUUUUUUGUUCUUGUGUUGGUCCGUUGGCUGAGAAAAUUUAGUGACUAAGGAUAUGUUGUUUUAGUUUUUGUUUUCCUUAGUAUUUAUCCAAAAUGGAAAAGGAAAAUCUUCAUAAAAAAUCUGAAACUAAGGAAAAAAAAAAGAAGCUAUUUUCAGGAACAAUUUCUGAGGAAGCGAAUGAACCAUAAGGAAUAGUUUCUACCCGGCAAAUACAGCAUGGUUCAUCAACUGCCGAUUCUUUUGCAGUCGCCGAUGAAUAUUUCCGCCGCCUUAGAUGCUUCAUUACCAUAUGGUCGCUCAAUCCAGUAUUGACGUUUCCUAUGCGUUCUCCUAAUGCCAAUAAUUCCUGCAGCAUAGACAAUGUUGGCUUAACAGGCCUUUAAAUCUGAGGAAUGAUGUGCUAUGAAGUGAUGAUACUAACCUCGUAGGACAUGUUGUCUACAUCGAGCCGCAUGUCUCGGUGCCUAUCGUGCACAUCCACACCCCUAUAAUGACGCUGGUCAAGAUAAAGACGAAUUAAAGAGUUACAAUUAUGCAAAUCAUUGGGAAAAAGAAAAAGAAAAAAAAUCAAAUGAUGAUAAUAACCCAUAAGAUGUAAUUAACAGCUCCGUUAUGAAUGAGAGAUGCUGUUAAUGAAGGUUGAUGUAUUACUAAACUUCAGAGAAAGUCUAUCGACGAAAGAAUGUCUUGGACUUAGGGAUGCAAAUGGAUUUCGGGUUGGUGGAGCUCCCGCCUUGAUUCACCUCAAAUAGGGAGGUAAAUGGGGGUCAAAAAUAAAGAAAAAAAUAACCCGCUCCAAUCCGCUAAGAAAAUGGAUCGGGAGGCAGGGAACCCCUUUCUCCAUUUGAUCUUUAUCCCAAUCUGUCAAAAAUUUGCUUCCGCUACAACCUGCCCCGGAUGGAGCAGGAAGUGGGGGAAAAAAAAGGGGUAAAAAUCAACCCGCCCGGAAUACGCCCUAACCCACCAAAGAAACGGGGAGGGAGGUGGGGAACCCCUUCCACUCCCGAAUCCACCCGGUUCGGAGUAUUAGAUUUAUGUAUUAUUAUGUACAAUGGAACCAUAACAAAUUGCUUCGGUUUUGAUUUGAUGUAAUUAAGCACUACAACCAUAAAAUUGAAAGAAAAAAAAAUUAUAAAUUGCAUUCUUCAAAUCGACAAGUGUGCAUUUAUGUUACAUUCAAGUCAUGUAAUUUCUAGUUGCAAUGUGCUGCAAAGGGUCGUGUUGUGCAAUUUCUUGUAUUUUACAAUGAUUCUAGCAGUGGUUACAUUCUCAAACUUUUAACUGGUUAUCUCCGAAGACGGAUAGAUUUUUAGGAGCUCCUUCAAAAUUAGGUAUUAAAUAAUAUGAAACAAUCAUUGUUCUCCAAAAAAUUUAAGCUACAAGAAAAUGAUGCUUUUAAUAUGCAUAUUCAACAUUCCCCCUGAUGUCCAGGCUCCGGAUAUUCUGAUAGGCCCAAACGUGGAAUUGAAUUAAAUGAAAGGAAAUUAAUAAUACAAGGAGCCCGGUAGGAUUCGAACUUAGAAUUUCCUGCUAUGAUACCAUAUUAAAUAAUAUGAAACAACAAUUAUUUUCCCAAAGCUUAAACUCCCAAAAAAUGAUGUUUUUAAUCAUAUUCAACAUUAGGGUUUAAAGUCCGUCGCAAAAUUCCUUUAAUCCAUUCUACAUGAGAAAAGUUGAGCCUAGAUAUCUAUUUGAUCAAGAAAUUUCAAGAAGGGCUGCUGGAAUUUUCUCAAGGACUAAGGGCAGCAGCUCUUAUUUGUAGAAAAGUGGGUUGGCUGUGCUUCCGAGUCGUGUCCUUCUUUCAUGUAGAAAAGAAGUAGAUCACUGUCGAACUCCAUUAAAAAAGAAGUAUCUGAAUCAUCUACUGUAACAUGAAAGAGAAAUGACUCAAAUGUCCGUAAACUCAUAACACAAAUUAGGAGGUACGCGGUUGAUUAUAACACAAAUUAUUCAGGUAGUUUUUCUUUUUAACUUUUGAGUUUGGUAGUGAACUACUAGGAGCUAAAAUUCAUGGUCUCGCUUAUUUCUCGCCCCAAGUAUUUACUUUUGCCAAAAAAAAAAAAAAAAAAAAACUCCUGUGACGAUUAUGUUGAAAGAUGAAUCUGGUCGCCAAUGACCUGUCCCUCAUCCUGAUCAAUGGUUGAGCUCUAUGUUCUUAAUGAUUCGACCAAUCUGCCCAGAAACUAGGGAGCGAGACUAUAACAUCUCGGUUUUAGCUAGAAACAGUAAAAAGAGACCACAGUUUCAUAUGGUCAGUCAGCGACCAAAAUAACCUGUAAAAGAAUAACUUAUGCCAUUUUCUUUAUCAUUUUUUGCCCUUACACUGAUUAAUAAAUAAUAAAAUUAAGUUAACUAUACACCUGAACGAAGUAUGCACACAUACCGCUUUCGUGUAUCAAAAUCUUGCACAACGCAUGUUGCUAUUGGUUUUCCAAUUUUCUUCCUGCUUUUUAAGAUGUUUUGCAAUUUUAUCGUCUAUGUAGGCAACUAAAAUCCAAAAUUACCAACAUUAAAAAGUCUUAGCAUGAUCUUCGAUUAAAUUCAUUGACUCAACCAACCGUAAACACCUAUAUACCAUUUCUUUCAGUGGCGCAUAUAUCGAUCCUAAUUGGUCUGUGAGAAAAAUAGUUGCAUGGAAAUUGGAGAUGAAUUAUAAUAAAAUUAGAAAAGAACUGACCUCAACUCGUAUGUUUUCCCGUGAGCGCCUGACUGGGAAAGCAUUCUGAAUUUAGCAAAAUAAUAAAGAGUAUAAGCACUACCCAAAAAGGAAAAAAAGGGCAUGAAGUUAAAAGCAUAUUCUCUGUCUAGAUUGAUCCUAGUGAUGGACAUAUUAAGAUCAUCUAACUCAAAUUCCUUGCUCUCUAGCAAAUGUUAAGAAAGAUGCAAACUAAAUCGGAUACUAGUAAAGACAAAAUCAUUUAAUCUUUUCGAUUGACAAUAAAUUACCUUUUCCGAUCUAAUGAUGCAAAAAGCAUAGAAAUUACUAAGUUGGUCCAGGAAGGAUAAAAAAAUUUCUAGAGAUGGUUUACGAACACACUUUUGGCAUUUGAAAUAUAUAGUGAAAUUUUGCAACUAAAUGAUCAAUCACUUCCUACAGAAGUGCAACAAAGUAGAUCGCCAUGAAAAUCACUCUUUUGGCAAUCAAAAUUUGAAUUUUCUUAUAGAAAGUGAAAUAACAGGAUGUUGCUACUACUCUUUACCAUACCAUUACUUCUAACCACAUGAAAUAAAACAUAUGAGAUUGUAAUAGCUAAAUUUCUAACAACCAUACUGCGAUAAAAUACGUGUAUCGUGUUCAAACAAUCAACAAGGAACAAAUACAAGCAUACAACAAAUAAAUUCUUGGAGAAAAUAUGUGAAUCUAUGAAAGUUCUAUUUGAAGACACCGCACUUAAACGAUAUAUGAAACUACUGAAAAGCUUAUGUGAAGGGUGUAAAGAUAACUAAAAAACAUACCUCCAGUAAUAUCCUCCUCCUUUCUGGAGUGACACCAGAAGCACCGUCAGCUCGGUCCAAGAAAAUUUGCUGCCUUACAUGUGGUGCAUAAUAACCGGCCAAAGAACCUAUUUCCGGUAAGUUAACAGCGCGAACAGAAUGUGAUUGAGGAAUAUUGCUACUCUGACCCCCAGAUUCAGAUGAAAACAUGGGUUGGGGAAAAGUCAGCGGUAUGCCCUGAGGAAAUGGUAUGGGCAGAUUUUGGUGAGAAGCCAAUCUGGGUUGUCCCACUGGUGGGCUAACAAACGUAUUCGUUCCGGCUUGUGAUGUAGAGGGAACAUUUCCCCCGAUGAUCACACCGCGAUUAGCUACAUUCCGGAUUCUUGGACGGUGUAGCCUAGCAAAAUCCAAAGAAUUAUGUACCGCAAAAUUUAUCAUCCUCUCUUCUAAGGUGAGAGAGCUUGAGGAACCGCCACCUCUCGAAGUGGAAGCUCCAUUCGCUGGAAGUACAAGACGAGGACUUGGUGAGGUUGAACUGGUAACCACUGGCCUCGAAUCCCGUGGCUGAGUAAAGGAAAUGGGAGCCGGAGAUGAUUGAUUCUGCGAGGUUGAACUAGUAACUACCGGUCUCGGAUCCCCUGGCUGAAUAAAUGGCAUAGGAAGUGAAGAUGAUUGAUUCAGCGACCUUGCAGUAGAAUCCCGCAUAUUAAGCGGAUGAGAGGUUUCACUCAGUUGGGUAGAGUUCAUCCAUACGCCGCAAUUUCUUUCUGGCGCAGGCUCGAUCGAAGGGAACUUCACCUCAGUAGCAUUUGUAAAUCUUAGAUAAUCCAAUGGGUUUGGUAUAUUUGAACUUGAACCAGCAGAAAGAUUAUAUUUAGCAGAAGAUGACGACGGUGAAUCAUGUAAACCGUUCUUGUUUUGAUGAAAGAAACUUGCGCUUCCGCUUGUGGAGGACUGUCCUUGGAAACCCUCGAUGUUUUUCCUCUUGCAAGAUAAGCGACGGCCAUCCCUUGAACUCCCAGAGGAACUUUCACCGAAGUUUAUAGAACCAAAUGGAGAAGGACAAUGUGCCGAAUCUGAUAAGACUGGGCUGUUAGGAUGAGGAUAUAAAUCAUAAAAGUCCGCGCAAUCGCCAAUUGUUCCUACAUCCUGGGGGUAGUCAUUCAAAUUAGGUCUUGGUGAUAAAAAUAGCUCUUCGUGAGUUUGGCCGCUACUAAUAUUUCGAUUCAUGUAUUCUGCCAACUGUGCGCUUGCUGCUUCUUCCAUUUUUGAGAGCGCGAUUUCAUUUUCAUCAUGGCCUCCAUGAUACGAUGACUGCCCUCUAGAACUAGCUCCAUUUGAGCUCUGGGCGAUUAAAUUUGGAAUGCUUCCAUUAGCAAUGUUCAUAUGCAACAAAUUAUUCUCAUCGUAAGACUCAAGAUAGUCCUGGAAAUUCUGUAAUUCUUCAGGACUAGGAAACGUGCCGAGAACUUCAGGGCAAGAUUCCAUAGAAUUCGUUUGCCUUUGCAUUAGGCUCGCUGUUCUCUUGAGCUUCGAUAGAUCCUUCGAAAAUUUAUCUGUCCAACAGCCAUUUCUGAUAAUUAAAAUAGAAAGCCCAAAUUCGGAAAGUAUAUACAUGAAGCAAUUUUCUUUCUGUAAAGAGCAGGAUAAUGAGUACAUGGGUAUUCACAUCCGUAGAUAGGACGCAACCCUUUCCUAGGAAAAUGAACAUAAUUUGUGACAAUAGAUCACUUACCAUAAUUUCUUAAAGAAAAACAACAACAACAACAACAAAAGGACAUCUAAGCACCGAGUUGGUGCUUAUAUGGACAAAGAGGGUUAUUUUGUGGACAAAAAUAUGAGUAGGGUAUAUUUUGGGACCGUUCGAGAAAGGUACCAUUUGGGUCAGAUGCAACUCCAAGGAAAACGUGAAAAUAAAAUGCGAAAAACCUCAUGUCAACCUGCUAAGGCCAUUUUCGUGCCAGUUGCACGAAGAAGCAUGUUACGCAAUGCACGCAGGGCCAACACUGCUCAUGCUGCUACCAUGAGAACCCUUGACACAGAGUUACGAUAAGAAUUCGUCUCAAGAUAGGAAUGGAGUAAAUUGUUCAUCGUUAAUCAUUUAUUUACAACUUUUCCCUCUUAGAACAUCAAUAUUUCAAUGCAUCAAAUUCAAUUCUCUAAUACAAUAAACUUACAAUAUGAAUUUUUUUCGUCAAAUUCUAAUCUGAAAUCGUAAACUCUGCCCUUACAAACUCCUAGAGGAAAACUAGAAGGUUACUAUACCAUCACUUGAUUAAGGGUUAAACAACUAUACUUUUUAUGAUAAUAUAUAUUCAUGCAGAUACAUUUACAUUUACAAUUAUAAAUAUAUAAGAACAUACACAACCCUCAACAUCAACAACUACAACGACACAUGCGUGGCGAAGAACAUAUACAAGAAUGUAUACAUACAACACGUAUAUAACGCUUCAAAUCGCCUAGUUUUGAGAUGUCUACAAUUUGAUAUGUUAAAAUACUUGCACACAAACACUAAUUACAAAGGCCUAGAUUCAAAUAUACCCGAAAAAGUUUUCAAUAAGUUUGAAGCGAAUAACAAACACUGCAAAUAUAUUCAUAGCAUUCAAAACUAAAAUUGUAGUAAAAUAGAAUAAAUUACACUACAGCUCUAUUAGAAACCGAGGAAUCUCGUCAAUUGAGGGGUUCCUACAGAAACAUCAUCACCAUAAUAACACCCCCCCCCCCCCCCCCCCCCCCGAAAAAAAAAACCCCAAUUUAGUGCAGAUCCCAAAAAACUCCUCUUUUUUAAAUUUUUCCCCAUACAAAACAUAGAUGAUAAAUGUUGAGAUUAAUAUAAAAAGAAUACAUAGCAAAAUCCAUCGCAGCACCAUUAGAUUACAUAGCAAAUCUAUAAAAUAAACAAAAUAGAAAAGAAAAAAACCAAAUACACAGGAAGAAUUAGAUCCAAAAAAGCUUGUACCUGAAACCGAUCUAAUCGCCCGGACGAUCCAAACCCUAAAGGAACCUCCUCUCUCUCUCUAACGCUAUCAAAAUCGCACCUUUUCCCCAAUCCUCAUAUAAGGAGGGAAGAGAAUAAAAAAAAAAGAAAAAAGGAGAAAAAAAAGGAAAAAAAAAAAAAGCCCAAAGAGAGAGAGCGAGAUAGGCAAUAGGAUUAAUAGGCGAAAAAGAAGAGAUUAUUAUUAUAUUAUAUUAUUAUAGAGAAUAAAUCGAUAAUAAAUUAUAAAAAUAAGGAAUUGGGUGUGGAUUAUAAUUUAUUUCCCCUUUUUCCCCAAAAUAUUCGCGCAUAAGUUUUUUUUUUUUUUUUUUUUUUUGACUGUUUAUUCGCUACUAAGGGAUGUGGUUGGAUUCGGUUGCUUCAAAUUUUUAAUUCGCUAGGUGAAGGAAAUUGAGGCAAUUUGCACCACAAGUCCCUAACUUCUAGCAAAUUUUAUUUUAGUUCUCAAACUUUAAAUUUUGGAAAACUUCAAAAACCCCCCCUGUGGUUUCAUGCAUUCUCACUUUACUACCCUGUGGUUUAAAACGUAUCAAUUUGCCCCCCUGUGGUUUCAUUUUUAUCUUUUCAGAAGCUUUUUCGUUAACAUUUCGUUAAAUUAUAUACAAAAAACUUCAGAUAACCAUCUAUAUUUAUCGAAUAUUCACUUUAGUAUCCUUUAAUUUUAACUUUGUCACUGAUUUAAGAAAAAAAUAAUAAUAAAAUUGAUAAUAAAAAAAGAAAAACGAAACCACAGGGGGGCAAAUUGAUACGUUUUAAACCACAUGGUACUAAAGUGAGAAAGGACGAAACCACAGGGGGUUUUUUAAAGUUUUCCCUUAAAUUUGUGCAUGAAAUAUAUUGCGCUUAAUUUCAAGUGGCUUUCUAUAAAGAUGUUGAAUAAUAUAUAAAUUCAUGUGAAGCUUAAGUAAUUAUAUUUAGGAUUAUCUCUAUGCAAAUAUACCUUUCAGAAGUUCUGAUACGUUUAUAUUUGUUUCUAUUAUUUAAUCCACUGUUAAUUUUUUUUAGAAUUAAUUUCACACAGAUCUCUACAAAUAUAGUGAAUGAUAAAUAUAUUCCUACAAAGUUCAACUUUCAUAUGUUGUUUUUACAAAAGUCCUAAUAUUUCAAAUAUGUCUCUACCGUUAGAAUCCGUUAAAAAAAUUUAGUUAAUCAUAGAUUAAAUACUUAACCCUAAUUAGUUUCUGACAUUUUAAUCCCUUUAUAUUAUAUGUUAUAGUUUUUAAAAGAAUAUAUUUGUGGUAGUAAAAUUGAAAAUAUAAAUAGUUCUUUAACGGAAAUAAACCAGAGGGAUAUAUAUUUAAAAAUAUCAUAAUUUUUGCAUGGACAACAUAUAAAAAUUAAAUUUUGUAGGAAUAUAUUUACCAUUUAUUAUAUUUGUAGGAAUCUGUAUGAAAUUAAUUCUUUUUUUAAGGUAGGUGCGUGAAAUGAUUAUUUUAUUUUAUAAUUUUGUCUCUUCAAAAAUUUAUCUUUCCUCCUCUCUAUCCUCUCGUCUUCACCGCCGACCUAUCUUUCUUCCUCUCUUCCCCCCAUCUUCACUGCCGACUGCACGGCGUACCACGCCUUCGUCGCGGUUGAGGGCCUCGCCUUCACCGCGAGCAAAAAGGAGGGGGAAGAGAAAGAUGAUGGAUGUCAGCAUUGGAAUACAAAUUAUAUUUAUAAGAGGUAAAAAGGUCAUUUUAUUUUUUACUCGUGGUUUUUUUUUUUUUUUUGAGAGAGAGAGAUAGGUAGUAUGCUAUCCGCUUCGUUUAUUUCAUUUAGAAAUAAACUUAGCUGGAAAUAUAAAUCAACUAGAAUUCGACCUUGGGACCUCAGGUACCAACCACCAAGCCCUUUGCCACUUGCGCUAAGGACGGUCGGUUCUUUUACUCGUGGUUAUCAAUAUUUUUAUAACAGAAAAAUAUAUUUGCAGACGGAAGGAUUUUGAUCACUUAAGUUUUAUAGAAAUUUAUCUGCUAUUUGAUCCCUUUGCAAGAAGUCGUAUUCAAUUGUAUGAAUACAUUAUUACCGCUGAAUAUAUUACUACCUGCAAAGAAGCCGUAUUUGUUUGGUCAAAAGUGAAGAGAGCAAAAUUAUUUUCACUCGCAAAAACCCGCUUGUGUUUAAGGGUGUCAGUGGGUUUGAUUCGUGGUGGCUUAUAAAAAAUCCGAACCCAAACCCUAUAACGAAAUUCGAAUCCAAAUCCAAAUCCACCGGAUUUUGAAAAUUCAUACCCAAAAUAGAACCUAACCAAAAUCUCAAAACCAAACACUGAACCCGAAGACCAGAACAUAACACAAGCAUUUGUAUUUACCCUGUUUCAAAAUAUGUUAUAUUAAAAUGUAAAUUUAAAAACAUAAAUUAAAAUAUAACAUCGAAACAUUCAUAUUAUAACAAUAUAAUAAUGUAAAAUCCAUUCGGGUUCAGAUUGGGUACAGAUAAAAAUCAUACACCAACUAGAAUUUGUUGGAUUUUUAUUCUUUAUACCCGUAUCAGAAAUCAUAUUUGUUUAUUAUUGGAUAAAACCGUCCUACUCAGGUUAGGAUUCGAGCAAAAUUUUGGAUAUUCGUACGUAUUGACAUCCCUACUUGUGUUUGUUUAGUUUGUCGUAAAUUAAAUUUGUUCGAAACUAUACUUUUUCAAAACUCCGUAAUUAAAUAAAGGAAAAAACAACUAUUGUAACUUUUUUUCAUUCUCGUAUUCGUAUAUGUUACUGUCAAAUUUUUAGAUAAAAUAAACAAACAAGUGAGAUAAUUAUAAUACGAAAGCUAUUGACAUACUAUCAAAUAAACGGCGAUAAAAAAUUAAUUUUCUAUACCUGAACUUCAGUUCAAUUGAAAGUCAUUUUACUUAAAAAUUAGUUACAGACGAAUAAAAAAGCGCUCCAUGUAUCUUUACAUUUAUUUACACAUAUAUUUAUCAACUGUCUUUUUCAUUUUAUAUUUAAACUCUAUCAUUCAAUGUUGAGAUAUAAAUAUAUAUUUUUUUUAUAAAAAUUGAACCAUUCGAAUUGAAAUUAUGAGAUGGAUGGAUGUAGGAGUGAUGAAAAUGGUAUAAUAAUAGGGAUGUCAAUGGGUACGGAUAUCUAAAAUUUUAUCCAAAUUCGGAUCCGAACAGAGCGUACUUAUUCGAUACUAAAUGAAUAUUGUUUCGAAUAUGGAUAUAAGAAAUAAAAACUCGACGGAUAUCGAUACGGAUAUAGAUUUUGACUGUACCCAAUCCGAACCCGAACUCUACCCGAAUCGAAAUUUAUUUUACAUUAUACAUAAUAUGUAUAUGAAAAUUUAAUAUUAUAUUUGAAUUUAUAUUUUAAAAAUUUAAAUUUAAUAUAAUAUAUUUUGAAAUAUUGAAAAGAGAAAUACUUGUUUCGGGUUCAGAUUUUUGGGUUCGGGUUCAGGUUUGAGUUUCGGGUUUGGAGUCAGGUUUGGGUUUGGAUUUUUGAAAUCCGCCCCGAAUCCGACCUGUUGACAUCCCUACCUCUACUGCUUGCAGUAUUUUAUCUCGUAGGCCAUUUCAUCAAAAUGGGUAAGUAAUGCUUGAUCUAGAUCAGAAUCAGAUCGGAGAGGUCGACCGUUCUCGGUCCGACCAUCAUCGAAGGUCUCGGGUCGCCUAUUCUCGACCUAUCGGUUCGAGUUCUUGUCAAAACUAGAGCUUCGCGGUGUAAAAAGACUCUGAUCGAACAAUUUCCUCACCGAUCUGCGCCUGAAACACAGUCAAAUCGCUUUCAUUUGGAGACAAGGAAGGGCAACUAACACAGUCCUACCAAAUUAUGGAUAGCAAGACCUUUCAAUGAGACCGACCCUUCCUAGAGCAAGUGGCAAAGGGCUUUGUGGUUGGUACCUGCGACCCAAGUUCAAGACCUUUCAAUGAGACCGACCGGCCCUAGAGCAAGUGGCAAAGAGCUUGGUGGUUGGUACCCGAGACCCAAGUUCGAAUCCUAGUUGAUUCACAUUUCUUGCUAAAUUUAUUUUUAAAUGAAAUAAACGAAGCGGGUAACGUGCUACCUAUCUCUCUCUCUCUCUCUCAAAAAAAAAAGACCUUUCAAUGAGCGAAAGUUAAAUUUUCCUCUUUCAAUUAUACAAGAAUAUUUUCAUACUAAAUAAAUGAAAAUUAUCAUCGAAUCGAAUAAGACCUUAUAUACUGAAUAAUAUAGGUGAAAAUGUAUAAAGCUUAUCUCAACUAUUACUCAUUUGGAUUUAACUAUCUACUUUUUAAAAAUUUUGAUUUUACUAUGUGGCUUUUUAUUUUAUUUUAUUUCAUUUGAGCCAUAUAGCGAUUAUUUAACUUUAAAAUUUGAAUGCGCUGUUUAUUUUUACGAAUUUAGGUUACAUACAAUUUAACUAACGAUAAAUUCAUUAAAUAACCAAUUAGUUUAAAUUUUGUAUCUUAAGAACCAUCAGAAUACUUAAAUCAAACCAAUUGAAAGAUUUGAUACUACAAUCAAAAUUUUAAAAGGUCGGAUAGUUAAAUCAAAAUAGUUUAUAGUUCAGAUAAGUUUUAUACAUUUUUACCAAUAAUAUAUCCUUAUAUCCAAAUGGGGCUUUCACUUGUUUGCCCCUUACUACUAUUGAAAGUUUUUAAAUUUCACCUUUCUAAAACCAAAUCCCAUUAGUAAAUUCUAAAGAGAAAGGCAGUAUUUGAAUUUUUUUUUUUCAAAAAAUCAAUAAAAAUAUUUUGAUUAUCUAGAAAUAAAUAGAAAAUAUUAGAUAGGAAUAAUAUUCAAUAUGCCCAUCAAAACUUUAAAAAUAUAGUAUUAUUUCUAGAGGAUCAAAAUAUUCUUAUUGAUUUUGAAGAUUUCUUCAAAUAUUCCUAUUUUUUCUAGAAUUUCCUAAUAGAUUGAAUUUAGAACGGUAUUUUAGUAAUUUCAAAAUAAAUCUGAAAAUUGAAUCAUAGUAAAAAAUAAAUAAAUAAAAGCCCUUAUUAGAUAUUAUCCUCAUUCACAUAGUUCCAUCCUUUUUUAUUUACUAGUAAAGAACCCGCGCUUCGCGGCGGAUAACCAAAUAAUGGUUAGUGUAUCUAAUUUCUUGUAUUAAAAUAAAAAUCAAAAAGUAAAUCUAAACAGAACUGAUAUAAUAAUUUGUUAAGCGAAUAACAAAGUGCUUACAAAACAAAUAUUAGAAGUAUAUAAAUAGAAAAUUUUAAAUUAUAUUUAACUACAUGCAGACAUGUUUAAAGUAGUUAGAUUAGUGGAUAACAAAGUGUCUAUUUAUAAAUAGAACUAUAUAAAUAGAACUGCAAUUCUUCAUUUCUGACUUCAUCUGCUUGAGGAGCUUCAUCAAACCUACAAAUCAACAAGAAUAAUAAUUAGAUAUGUUUUUUUGGUAUAAAUGAACAGCACGUGAUUAAAUACGACAAUUAAUUUACGUAAGACAAGUUGGGUCAAGUCGAUGUCUUUUGGCAGGUUGCAUUUCAGAUAAGUCCUCAGCAAGUUGUUCAGAACUGUUCAUAAAAAAAACACAUGAAAAAAUUUUAAAAAAUUACAUUCUCUCAAAAUAUUCUAAUAAUAGAAUUUAUAGCUGAAUUACCUAGUAUGAUGUCCAGAUCCCAAAAGCCAGUAAGUAUAGAAUGCAAAUUAAUUUGGAGAUAUAGCUAAGACAUUGCCAGUGUAUUAGUUUCAUCAAAAAAUGAGUUAUAGACAACGAAGUAAUACAUUUUUGUGUAGCAAUUUGCAAACAAAAGAGUCAAAUCUAAUCAGCUGUUUCAAUAGUUCAGACAUGCGCACGCACACACACAUGCAUCUCUCUCUCUCUCUCUCUCUCUAUAUCUAUACUAUUAUAUAAAAGCACGUAUAUUCAAAUUUGGGUCUGUCGACAGACCCAUAUUUCGGCGGGAAAAUUAGCGCCCAUUUUUCUCUUUCCGUACAAAAAAAAAUUUAAAUAUAAGAAUAAAAAUAGAAACCCUAAUGCAUACGUAUGUUCUCUAUAACCGAUUACUUAUAUUUUUCUAUUUUAUUUUAAAAUAUCUUUUUUAGGUAUUAUCUAUUUAAUUUUAAAAGUAAGUUUUCUAUAACAGAUUACGGGUGUGAAAAUCCUAUAAAAGAUAUUUUUCAAUUUAUUUUUAAAAUAUCUUUUUUUUGAUAUUUUUAGUAUGAAAAUCCUAUAAAAGAUAACGAAUUUUAUUUUUUCUUUUUUAUAUUAAUUUUCGAAUUUCAAAAUAUCUUUUCUUUUUAAGAUAACAGAUUUUAUUUUUCUAUUUAAUUUCAAAAUAUAUUUUUUUUUACAUUAAUUUCUGCUCAAAUGUAAUAUAUAAAUUUAACAAAUAUUUAUAAAUUUUUGAAUAAAUAUGAUUUACAAAUAUUUAUUGAUUUAAAAUAAAUUAAAAUAAUUGUUACGUGCAGUUGCACGUACACUCAACUAGUAUAUAUAUAUAUAUAUAUAUAUACUAGCGAUGUACCCGCGCUAACGCUACGGUCUACGGUGCACCAGGUGCACCGUAAAUAAUCGAAAGACACGUGGCAAUAUAUGAACCUAACUCCACGGACUUUAGUAUAUAGUAAUAGAUAGAUAUAAAAGAGCAACAAUUAACACACACAAAACAAAAACAAAAAACCUAAAUAAGCUGAGGCUCAGGUAUUAUUUCCAUCCAACCUUAAAAUAUAGGUUCAGGAGGAUACAAUGAAUAGGAAGAGUUGGUUGCCUAUAAAUUAGGCCAUCCAAAACCCUGUUCUCAUUUAACACAGCAAGCACAAUUGGAGAUUACACCCACCCUUAGGUAUCGUUUGGUUCGGGGAUAAGCCAAAAGUGACUAUUUCAGGAAUAGAUAUAAAUUGAGGCAUAAGUGGGGAUUAGAUCAAUUUUGCGUUUGGACGAAAAUUUGGUUAUUCCUGGAAAUAAAACAAAUAGCGUUUGGUUAAAUAAGAUGGAAUAAGAAGGAUAGGCUGAGAAGGAUUUAAUGAAUAGGAAGAGUUGGUUGUCUAUAAAUUAGACCAUCCGAAACUCAUUCCUCUAUUUUUCAAUCACCAUAGCCUCAAAGACAGUAGUCAGGAGAAUUAGAGAAAAUAACGAAUUCCAAGAGUUGAUUGCCUGGAAAUUAAAACAUCCAAAACUCUUCCCUCAUUUUUGCAGUCAUUACUGCAGCAAAGACAACAGUUAGCAUGAUUGGAAAUUAGAGAACCCAAAAUUCAUCCGUCGUUUUGUUAGUAGUGUAAAAACAAAACACACACCACACACACACCAUGUAAGGGCUGAAUCUAAUUAGUUACUUUCUUCUCUUUUUUUUUUGAGAAAGAGGUAGCAAGCUACCUGCUUCAUUCAUUAAGCGAAAUAAAUUUAGCGUACAUAAUGGAGACAGCUAAGGCCUCCUACAGAAACCGGCAAAACAACAAAAAAAAUAAUAAAAAGCAGUAUAGAUAUGUAAACAAAAGCCCGACUUGAGCUAUUAAAGAGCAGUUACGGGACAAUCGCCUCGGUCCAAGUCUUCGUUAGCGCAGCUAUCCGUCCAAUUGCACGGGUAGCGUUCGGAGUGUCCUCGUUGAAGACGAUCUUGUUGUGCUCCAUCCAAACUACCCACCAGAUUGCCGCCAACCGUGUGAACCUUAUCGAUCUUUGUUCAGCAUUAGGGGAGUCCGCAGUGUCGGUCCCAAGUUGCUUAACGUCCCCUGUUCUUAAAUCGCUGACACCCAAUCCAUCAACGCUAAUUUGGAGGUAUCUAACAAAAACGCAAUCCUUGAAAAGGUGAUCGCAAUUCUCAGGUGAGAAUGAAUAGAAAAUGCAGUACUCAUUCACCGGGCACCCUCUGCGUAUCAGUCUAUCAGCGGUAAGUAAUCUCUUGCGUAGUAGGAUCCAGAUGAAUAUUUUGNUCGCAGGUUUUCUCCUAAUUCAAUUUCCAAGUCCAACAUGUAUAACCUACUUAAUUUAUUACCACAUGCUCCAAAUUCAGAUUUGCAAUCUACAAUAUAAUCCAUGAAUUCGAGCUAGAAUAGAGUAUCCAAAAGUCGAAAAUAUACAUGCUGACGAAUAUGAACUUAGGAGUAAAAACCGAUGUAACCCACCUCGACAGCGACCCACGCACCGGCGCGACGUCGAGAACGACGAAAAUGCACCCUCGCCCGGCCUCCAACGGCACUACCACGACGCACGCACGCUCCAACGGCUCGCAGGCGCGAAGUUGACGUCGCUCCAAUCUCCAACUAUAGCCUCCACGAGUUCUCCACUUCCAACUAGAGAGAGAGGGAAAUUACAAAUCACCACUAUCCCUCUGUAGGCCACAAGAUAAGGAUGCAUAGGGGGUGCACGUGGCAUCCAAAGCCACCCCCAUGCAUCACCAACCGACUAAAAAAAUUUUAAAAAAUAAAUAAAUAAACAAGGGUACUACAUAAAGAGACUUAGAUAAAUAGUCAAGCUGCAAAUAAAGGCUGAAUAGAGGAGCACACCUUUCUGUAACCAUUUUGCAAACAAAGGGUUGAAUCUAAUUAGUUACUUUCAUAGUUCAUUUAACACACACACAUAUAUUUAAGUAUCUAGCUAAUUAGUUACAUUCAUGAUCAUAUAUAUAUAUAUAUAUAUAUAUAUAUAUAUGUAUACACACACACACACCACACACACACACAGAGGUGUAUACAUAUAGAGUUGAGCUGGAAUGCUAUCGGUAGCAAACGGGCUCCGUUGCCACCCAUUGUUUUCGAUGAUAGAGCUUUCAAAUCGACGAUCGGCACCGUUGAACAUGAUCUAUAUCACUUGUAGUAUUUAGAAAUUAAAUUUCAAAUCUUUUCGACAUCAUUUACCUAAUGAUCAAAGGGUUUCAAAAUUAGUAAUUUUAAUGGUUGAUAUGAGGGGUUUUCUCGUUUAACGGUGUAAAGCUAUUCAAAUCAAUUGAAUUUUGGUUAGAAAAUUCUUUAAACUAUUUAGAACAAGAUCUAUACUCUCGAUCAUGAUUACAAAAUUUCUAUCAUCACUUUUUAGAGGAUAUUCAUUUUCAGCCAUUCAUUUUUACACCCACUUGAUGGACAAGAAAACAAUAUCGGAAAAGUAUGAAAUUUGAUUUCUAGAUACUUCAAGUGGUAUAGAUCAUUUUCAACGGUACCGAUCGUCGAUUUGGAGGCUCCAUUAUCGAAAAAAAAUGGGUGGCAACGGAGCCCGUUUGCUACUGAUAGCAUUCCAGCUCAACUCUAUAUAUAUAUAUAUAUAUAUAUAUAUAUNNNNNNNNNUAUAUAUAUAAAUAUAUAUAUAUAUAUAUAUAUAUAUAUAUAUAUAUAUAUAUAUAUCUCAGGCCGAUGAUAUGAUAGAUAUCAUGCCCUCGAGGGCAUGAUAUCAUAACAAAAGCUAGAAGCCCGCAAGUUUAGUUGCUAGGUGUGGCAAUUUUAACUAGAUCCCAUAAAUUUCAAAAAUCUUUAUUUUAAAAUAUAAAAAAGCUGUAUCAAAUGAAAUACUAGUUUUGUAAAGUUUUAACAGUUUAAAGUUACCGAUAAUACUGCUCAAACCUCAAAUUGCCACAUCUUCUUAGAUUUAAAGAAGUUUAAAACUAUCUUUUAAGAAAUUUGAUAUAUCUAAUUCCAAUUGUAAGAACUAGAACUUAAAUUUUCAGGAUACGAGUUUAAAAUUUCUCAUAAGUUAAGGGUGGCAGAUAAAACUGUAUUAAAUAAAUGAUUCAUUUGCUAUAGCUUUUCUUGAUUUUAAAAUAAGGACUCUUGAAGUAUAUGGGAUCUAGUAUAAAUUGCCACACCUAGCAACUAAACUUGCGGGAUUCUAGCUUUUGUUGUGAUAUCAUGCCCUCGAGGGCAUGAUAUCUAUCAUAUCAUCGGAUUAAGUAUAUAUAUAUAUGUAUAUAUAUAUAUAUAUAUAUAUAUAUAUAUAUAUAUAUCUCAUUCCGAUGAUAGGAUAAUCAUCCUAACCCUGGGAACAGGAUAGUUCAGCUAAACUAACUAGCCUUGAAGUUUAACUAUUAGCCGUGGCAACUUUAACUAGAUGUAUUAAUCUUUACAAAUCUUUGGUUUAAAACAUUAUAAAUUUUUAAUAAUAGUUCAAGUAGAAUUUUCAACUUUUUACUUGCCAGUAUUUACUUAUUGGAAGAAUUUUAUCUCCAAUCUGAAAGAGUUGAAUAUUAGUCUCAAUAGUUUGUAAUAGAUUUAUCAUAUUUCUUAAAAGAUAUUUUUUAAGUUCCUUAAACCUAAUGAGAUGUGGCAAUUUGUUCGUAUACCGAGUAUAUCCGGCAGUUUUUAACAGCUAAAAUGUUGUGAAACUAGUGGUACAUUUAUUAAAAAUUUUAAAUACUUUAAAUCAAAGAUCUAUAAAGUUUAUGAGAUCUAGUUGAAGUUGCUGAGGCUAGUAGCUAAGCCUUAGGGAUAGCAGUUCUUGUUAAACUAUCCUGUUCAUGAUGAUAGGAUAAUUAUCCUAUCAUCGGGAUCGUAUAUAUAUAUAUAUAUAUAUAUAUAUAUAUAGAGUUGGACUGGGCUACUAUUAGUUGCAAAAUUCUAUUGUUGUUACCAGUUUUUUAGCCUUUGGAUCAACUCUUUUCAUCAUUUGGGACCAUUCAACCCUAGGGGGACCACUCAACUCUAAACUGACUAAUAUCAUCUUAAUCCUACAAUUUUUCAUCCAAGGGUUAAAAACUUGAUAGCAAAAAGAGGGUUUUACUAUUAACAGUAUUCCAGUCUAAUUCUAUGUAUAAAAGUAUAGAUGCAACCUAAUUUGCUUAAAUAUAGACCGAGAAGGAAACAAUGUAUACCAAGAGUUGUUUGACUAUAAAUCACACCAUCCAAAACGCAUUACCUCGUUUUUUCUAUCAUUACAUGAAGCAAUUUGUUCCAGAUUUCAUCACCGUGUAAUUAAGUUCGUGCAAGGGAUAAGCAAUUUCAUAAAGAGCGCCGACAGACAUAGUCAGGUAACAUAUAAGUGCCCUGCAGCCUGCAUAGUGCCUUAAAGACAGCAGCCAGCAGAAGUGGAGUGAAGAAAAUAUAUUCCAAAUUUCGUCAUUGUGUAAUUAAGAUUGCGUAUGGGAUAAGCAAUUUCAUAAAGAGUGCUGACAGACUUAGCCAAGGAACAUAUAAGUGCCCCGCAAUUUGCAAGGGAAGACUAAAACCCAUCCUCUUAAGUGUAGGUAAGUAGCAAAAAACAAAAGGAUGAUAAAGAAAACAGGGAAGUUGCAAGCAGUAUAGGCGUGCACACACACACUCACAUAUAAGUAUAGAAUGCAGCCUUAUUUAGGGAUGUUAAUGGAUAUGGAUAUCCGAAAUUUUAUCCGAACCCGAACCGAAUAAAACGGAUAUAUCCGAUGAAUAUGGAUAUAAAAAAUAAAAAUCCGACGGAUAUGGAUUUUGAUUGUACCCGACCCGAAUCCGAACCCGACCCGAAACCAAAUUUAUUUUAUAUUAUAUAUAAUAUAUAUAUAAAAAUUUGAUGUUAUAAUUGAAUUUGUAUUUUAAAAAUUUAGAUUUAAUAUAAUAUAUUUUGAAAUAUUAAAAAAAAAAUAAUUAUUUCGGGUUCAAAUUUCGGGUUCGGGUUCGGGUUCGGGUUCGGGUUUCGGAUUUUUGGUCGAGUUCGGGUUUGGAUAUGGAUUUUUAAAAUCCGUCGGGUUCGGGUUCGGGUUCGGGUUCGGGUCUUGGGUUUGGAGUCGGGUUCGGGUUCGGGUUUUUAAAAAUCCGACCUGUUGACAUCUCUAGCCUUAUUUGAGACUUAGAUAAAAAGUCAAGUUGCAAAUAAGGAGAAAAUGAAGGAGCAAACUUUUUCUGCAGUAAUUUGCAAAUAAAAGGCUGUAUCUAAUGAAGCACCAAAGGAGGAGCUGAUAGCGGUUGCCCGCAAGCGGGGCCGUCCAAAUCUGCUCGGCAAUGGCAAAGCCUUUGUCUCACUUGCAUAUCACCGGGGCCAAAAAAAAUUUUAAAAAAGCCACCAAUAAUUUUAAAAAAAGGAACGAAAGCAUAAGACAUCUCCACCAAUAAUUAUAAAUUGUAUAGAUUAUCCCACCUUUAUAUUUGAGAACAAAAACAAACUAUACUGUUCUAAAAAGCUUAACCUAUUUAUAGAAAAAUUAUAGAAGGUCAGAAGAGAAGAGAAGAGGAAGACUUAAGACAUCUCCACCAUCUCUCUCAGUAGAUUCAAAAAAUUAAGAAAAAAUAUAGCUAUCACAUCGUUACUGUCGAAUCAGUGGGCUGGCAAAGCCCUCGGCGAGCGUAGCAACCGGGACGAACGGAUCGGCCAAGUAGGGUAGGUGUAGGAGGCCCUAAUCAUGAUGUCUACCGAUGGACAGCUCAGGCAUCGGAGGAGCGGAUGGAGGAGAGGAUGGAGGUGAGAGAGGAGAGAGAGAGAGAGAGAGAGGUGCUUUGGGCAUCGGAGGAGGCACGCGCAAGGAUCGCGCGGAGGGGAAGGGGAAGAGAGCCAUCCGAUCAACAAAAUGGAGGGUGUAGAUUCAGUGUCUUUUGGGAAAGGGAAAGGGCAUAUUUUGGGAAAGGGAAAGGACAUAUUUCGGGGCCUUUGGAUUUGUAGAGAAGUGUUGUAAACCGUUGGAUCUGAAACAAAAGAAGAGGCAACGAGGACAUGCCACGUGGCGGAAUAGUAGUCUCAAAUAGUAAGAUGGUAUAGAUCCUGCUUUGAAGCUAAUAUAAAAAAAGAAAAAUCCUUUUAAUAUUCCAAGUUCUUUCAAAUAUAUACCCAAAGUUAAAUUUUGUUUUAGUGAACGGUUAGAAACAGCUGUUAUUUUUAUAAAAUUACCAUUUUACUCUUUCAAAUAUAUUUUUCUACCGCCACCAAUUUUUUUGUUUGCCCUUAAGUUAGAGAUAAAACAAAAGUAUUUUAAUUUUUUAUCCUUUUAAAUAUAUUUUUCUAUCAAAACUAACUUUAUAAUGGCUUAAUCGAUACUAACAACGAGGUUAUUUUUGAAUAAUGAAAAAAAAAUACAAAGAUUAUAUUUGAAAUAAAAAAUAUAUAUAAUAUAUUUUAAAAAUUUUGAGGGUAUAUAGGUAAUUACCCCAUUCAAUUAAGAUGGAAAUGCUAUGUGGAAUUAAGGAUGUCAAAUGUGCACGGAUUCCUAAAAUUUUAUUCGAACCCGAAUCCGAAUAUGAACGGAGCGGAUUUAUUCGAUGUUUAACGGAUAUGGUUUUAGAUAUGAAUAUCAAAAAUAAAAACGUAACGGAUAUGGAUUCAGAUAUAAAUUUUGAUUUUUACCAGACUUUAACCUGAACUUGAUCCGAAUCUGAAUUUAUUUUACAUUACAUAUAACAUGUAUAAAAAAUUUGAUAUUAUAUUUGAAUUUAUAUUUUAAAAUAUUAUAUUUAAUAUAAUAUAUUUUGAAAUAUUGAAAAGAUAAAUAAUUAUUUGAAGUUCGGAUUUUCGGGUUUAGAUUUGAAUUCAGAUUUCAUAUUUUUGGUGAAAUUCGGAUUUGAAUAUAAAUCUUUAAAAUUCAUUGAAUUUAAAUUUAAUUUAAAUUUAAAUUUAGAGUUAGGAUCGAAUUUAAAUUUUUCUAAAUUUAUUUUGAAUCCGACCCGUUGGAAUCCCUACGCGGAAUGGAGACACGGGUCUAAUGUUUUUUGCUGGGAGGUGUAGCCUGCACAGCUCCACUGCGGGCAGACAUGUACGGCGAAGCCGAGUGACUGUCUGCCGCCUGCAGCACCCCCAACAAAAAAAUAAACCUUCGGCAGUGACACGUCGCUCGAUGGCAGUCUUCUCUCCGGGAAACUGGUCACGUGGGACAGCUCCCCAUUUGGUCGGUUGGUGAGUAAUGUACUAAAUAAAAAUGUUGGUGAUCAAGAUUCAAUCCCCCUACCACAUCCCCAUCCCCUUGCAUUGGAAAAAGGUAACUCUGUACUAUAGCACAGAGUGUACUUGUGCUUUGCAGGAAUGCAAACGGAACGGAUCUGGGGUGGGAGCUUCGUCCCGCCUCCCGCCCCGAUUAGCGAAAUUCUGUCACUCCUCUCAUCAUGAAUCCGUGACAGAUUAAAAAAUAUAUUCAAUAAUCCGCACUGCCUUGUAACCCGCUUUCUGGCGGCGUUCCGAAUUCACGACGCCAACUAAUAUUUUUUAUAAAAUUAUAAUAUUAUUAAUAUUUUAUAAAAUAUAAAAUAAUAAUUUUAAUAAUAUUAUAUAUAUAUAAUUUAAUAAUAUCAAUUAUAAAAAUAAAAAAUAUCAAUCAUAAUUUAAAAUAAAAUUUAAAAUUUUCAAAUAUAUUAGAAAUGAGAGUACUAACUUAUUUUUAUUUUUAACUUUUUUGAAGCAAUACAGUUUACAUCUCUAAUCCUCCCUUAUGCCUCAUUUUAUACCUAUCUCUGGAAUAGCCACUUUUUUCUUAUUCCCGAACCAAACGGUACCUUAAUAUAUAUAUGAUGGAUAAAUAGUUUCUAUUAAUGGAGAUGUUAUGUUAUGCACAAAGAGGUAUAUAGUGGAAUAAAUUUAUAAGCAAUAAUUAACAGUUAUUAUAUAUUCUAAGGCUAAAUUACAGAAAACCUCCUGUAAUAAUCCGCUUUUUCACUUUCCCCCCCUGACAUUUAAAAAUCUACACUUUUCUCCUCUGUAAAAUGAAAGAUGUUCAUAGGGGAAUUACGGUGUGUAAAAUGACUAUUUUGCCCCUCGCCAUUGUCGUCUUCUUCCCCAUCUUCCUCAGUCGCCCUUCGUUCGGCCGCGAUUCCCACCUCAAUCGGUCGCGAUUUCUCUUCAUUUCCUUCUCCACCUGCUCCCCUUCUCCUCCUGCACCCUCGCCGCCCUCGAUUUCGGCGACAGUAGGAGAAAACCGAGGUGGGCGACAAUAGGAGAAGGGCAAAGAAGGCGAAGGCGAGGCAGCGGAGGACGGCGAAGGGAAUGUGGGUGAGGGCGAUGCAGUGGAGGACGGCGAGGCGGCGAGGCGGCGGCGAGGUGGCGAGCCGGAAGGAGUCGAAGCAACAGGGAGAUGACGGAGGGGUAUUUUCGGCAUAAAAAUAUAUUUUUUAACGGAACCCUGACGGAACCCUAACGGUAGGGGUGAAGUGCACAUUUUUUAUUUUACAAGGGAGCAAAGUAUAGGUUUUUAAAUGUCAGGGAGGGAAAAUGAAAAAGCGGGUUAUUAUAAGGAGUUUUUCUGUAAUUUAGCCUAUAUUCUAAUCACAUGCAUUUGCUUUUUUGUUGGUGUAUGAUACUAAUUCCAUGACACGCUUUGCUCAUGACUUUUAUUAGCUUCUUUAUCUGGAAUCUUCUUCUUCUAUUUUAUUUUUCCCAAAGCCUCUCUUCUCAUUGCAUGAAUUCUCAUUCACACUUGCUUUUUUUACAUCAACUUUGGUAAUAAAUUAUUAUUUAUUAUGUUCACAUGGAAUCUAUUACAUCUCGCCAAGUUUAGUCAAUAAAUAGUAAUCAAGUUUAACGAAUUAACUUUGAAUAUGCAAUGUACAUGUGAAAUCUGAACAUACACAUAUUGGAAAUCAGAUAAACCACGUAUAUAGUGAUACCAGAAAAGAUAAAUAACAUGUGUAGCGAGCAGAAUGCACAGAAAAUACAGAUUAUCUGUAUGCCAUGUUACUUGAAAGAGCGAAUUAAAUUUUUCGUUUUAAGGAAAUAGAAGAUCACUUUUCAAAUGGCUUUGAUGUACCCUUCAUGAUAGAAAAGAGAGUUACAAUUCAUGGUGGUGGGGCCAUGCAUGGUUUAAAAUAACAGUUGAUGCUCCCCCCAUGUCCAUGAACUAGUAAUGCUGGAAAUCCAUGACAUUACUUGCUAACCACCACCUUCACAAGAUUGAUUUCUUUUUUUGUUUUAUUUUUAUUAUUGCAAUGAUAUGUCUCAUCACAAGAUUAGCAGGUCAGGUUCCUAAAGCAAAGCUGUGAAGGGUUUGUUGCUUUUUGCCCACCUUAUUCAUGUAUCAGCUUGAAAGGCCAGUACUCCAUUAUUGUAGGAUUUAGAGGUGUGUUUGGUACGGCGGAGCUCUAUUCCGUGCUCAUCUAGGGCAAAGUCGUGAGAUCGCACCAUACGCAAAUUCGCCGCCCUGUGAGACGGAUUCGUGCAUGUGGGCCAUACAAGUCCCACGAAACUUGACUUCUGCAAUUCCGUCUGAACGCUCGCGAACUCCAGUUAUGGAAACUCGGCCACUUCGACCCUGACUUCGAUCAAAACAGAAACAGACACGCCCUUAGCCUAAAAUUAUGCCCAAUUAGAUAAAUUAGUAAAUGGAUUGAGUUGUAUGACCCAAACUUAAUUGAUCAGCCUAAACUAAACUUCAGCUGGAUCCGAGUCGGACCCGAACCUAGAUUGAUUUUGCACAGAUUCUGAACUCGAGAAAGGGCCCAAAACAAAUUUGCUUCCAAUGUCUAAUUAGAUUGGGCUUGGAAUGUAAUAACAGGGGUGAGCCCAAUCCUCUUGUAUCCUGAUCCAUGGGCUAAUUUUGUAGAUAUAAAAAAUAGCAGCAGCUCUAGAACUUCUAUUGCAGUAAAAAAGAAAAAUAUGAUCGUAAAGUUCAAAAGUAAAAGCUCUAAUUAUAAUUUUUACUUUGCUAUACAAUAAAUUUGUCGAAAAAAAAGGCACAGUAAUAAUAUCUUUGCAAACCGGUCGAGUCAAACUUGAUUUGAACUCUUAAAAUUCACGGGCUAAAUUCAAAAUUGACCAAACUUCAUGGUGGGUUGGAGUCAUGUUCAUGGUGUUGUAAAAAAUUUUAUGCCACUUUCAGCUCACCCCACUUUAAUGAAGUACAUAUAUAUAAUCUUUAAAUUAAUGGGGAUUAUUUUGUCCAACUAUUACUUUGGGAUAUUGGAGAAAACUAAAAUUUAUGAUAUAUUAUUUGCUUAUCAAAAUUAUAAUUAUUGUAAAAAAAUCAAUUCAUUCCUGGCGCAAAUGGUAAAGAAUUUGACAUUUGGUAUCAAAAGUCCCAUGUUCGAAUCCUAGAGAUACGGCUCCUUUGAACCGUCCGAUGAAGAUCCAACGGUGAUUAAAUAAGACGCAAUCUUGAUACACCAGUGUGUGCAAAUCCACACAUCGCGAAGGUCGUCUCGGAUCCCUCGUGUGGCUCUCUCUGCUACGCCCCUUUCGCUGAAACCCUAUCCUCGCCCUCUCAACUCGAUCGGAGAAUCGGAUACUCGAUCCCCUCUCUCCUCUUCACGAUGUCGUCGGGGUCGAGCUCUUGGUCGCGAGCUUUGACGCAGAUCUCGCCCUACACCUUCGCCGCCGUGGGGAUCGCGAUCUCCAUCGGCGUAUCCGUGCUUGGAGCCGCAUGGUGAUCAUCAUCUUAAUUUGAUUCUUUUUUCUUAUUGAUUUCUCAAUCUGAAUUAUCUCCGUGUUUUUUCUGAUUUUUUUUUUUCCUGAAUUUUUUUACCAUUUAUUGCCAAUUUUUCAGGGGGAUUUUCAUCACAGGAAGUAGCUUGAUCGGUGCCGCGAUCAAAGCUCCGAGAAUCACCUCGAAAAAUCUCAUUAGGUAUGCUUUUAUUAUUAUUAUUAUUAUUAUUAUUAUUAUUAUUUUAGGGGGAUCACCUACAAACUCCUAUCUAAUAAUGACCUCCUCAUGUUUUUGAUAUUUUUAUUUGGAAGUUGUAUUUUUGUCAAAAUUUUGUAAUAUGUAACUUGUGUUGUUUGUAGACAAAAUCUUCUUUCCAGCAGAUACAUAUCUACAGAAGAUAUUUAGACGAAUCACUGUCUAAGGAAGUGUCUAUUGUCGAAUUAAUUGUAGACCAACAUUUGUUGAUUGGCUUAAAGUGUACAUCUUAUGAGUGUAUAUGGCUAAAUCUUAGGUACUAUAUUCGCUUUUGGUAUUUUGAAGCUUCUCCUUGUACCUUUGUAAACCUCAGGCCACUUUUUCUUUGUGAUAAUAAAUACGAACUGCCUCAUACAACUAAUAACUAAUUCCACCAAUCAUCUUGUAUCAGAGAGCUAGGUGAACAUGCUAUAUUGCAAGUUGCAACAUCUACUGGUAGAGAAGCAUACUAAGCUUACUGUGCUGUUUAAACACCUCAUGAACAUACAUUAUCACAGAAACAGAACAGCGUUAGUGUCCUUGUGAUACAUUAUUUGCACUUGAUAUCUAAUCCAGGCAUUUUUUUCGUCGACACGAAUGUCUAGUUGCACAGUUUUUGGUAAUGUUUCCAGCUCUCGUUGCACAGAUUUUGGUCCAUGUCCAGCUCUGCCGGCAAGCACUGUGUUAAUAUUUAGUACGUUAAGCUUUAAGGUGUAUGAUAACAACAGAUUUACAAGGACAUUCAAUAAACUAGAAUUCAUUGUUGAUCCUGGCACUAUCUGAAGCCAAUUGAUGUGUCUAGAGAAGUUGCACACAAAAAUGUAUGCAAAGAGGUUUGAAAACAAGUUCCACUAAUAUGACAAUUAUGACUGCCUGAAUUUGGAAGCUCAGUUGGGAGAAAGCAUGAGUAGCCUUUUUUAAGCUGUUUCUGCAAUUUGAACAGAAAGUAAGUGAAGAUCUGCAAAAAGUUGUAACAUUGCAGAGAAUAAGAUCAUGUAGAAUGGAAUGCAGGCAAGUCCAGCCAGUGUUAAAUGGCCGCUUGAACUGUGUUCUGUUGGCCGUACAUUAACUUUGAUAGUGUGGAUUUGGUUUUUUUUUUUGGCUGGCACUCAGGACCAAAUUUCACAAUUGUACUCUAUUGCUUCUGCUUGAUGUGUAGACAAGGAGCAUUAAAUCUUAUAAGUGACGGCAAUGAUAUUCUUGGGUCAAUGUUGUUAUGAUCUUUAUCUUUGUCUAAGAUUCUAGAAGAUCAGAAACUAAGAUAAAAAUGUAGGGGCAGUCUCUAAUAUUUCUUAGUUUAGUACAAAAGUAGUCUGUUUGAUGGGCAGCACUCUUCUGUUUAAAGAGGAUCCAGUAGUUAGGCAUGUCCAGAUCUACAACUCCAUGUGCCCAGAUUGCUUAAAUGUCUGGUGGAAACAAUCAGGCGAAUAGGCAUGUUCUUGAGAAUUUUACUUGUACGGGACAAUCCACCAUGGUUUAAUUCAAAAUCAGGUCAUGUUUCAUAUCUUCAAUGUACAUUUUAGCUUCAAGCUGCUGCAUUUUGUAAUUUGUAUUUAUAUUCAAAUGAUCACAUUCAAGUCCAUAAUAGUUGGGUUUACUGGUCCUACAUAUUUGAACUACCAAACUAUAUAUCUAUCAAAUUCAGGGCUGUAAAUCAGAAAUUGCUGUUAAGUUCUCCGCUAUUCGCCACAUUUGCAUGAAUUAUUUUGUAUUUUCGUGUAGAUUUUCUUAAUGGAAUUUACCUAAUCAAAAUUUUCAGUGUCAUCUUCUGUGAGGCUGUUGCUAUUUACGGUGUUAUCGUUGCAAUCAUAUUACAAACAAAGUUGGAAAGUGUGCCAAAAUCUUUAAUACACCACCCGGAUUCUCUAAGAGCUGGAUAUGCAAUUUUUUCCUCUGGGAUUAUCGUGGGCUUUGCAAAUCUUGUCUGUGGGUACGUUUGUUCUUUCUCAGUACUUCUUGCAACUCUUUAGUUUUUUUGGGGGAAAAUAAAGAGUCUCAUUCUAGUGAAUUGAGCUUACUUGGAAAGUUGUUUUCGUGAACAGGCUUUGUGUGGGAAUAAUUGGAAGCAGCUGUGCAUUAUCUGAUGCACAGAACUCCAACCUCUUUGUGAAAAUUCUGGUGAUCGAAAUCUUUGGCAGUGCGCUUGGAUUAUUUGGUGUAAUUGUCGGCAUAAUCAUGUCAGCUCAAGCAACAUGGCCAGCAUAGGCCACAUGAGCUCUUCUUGUCGGUAACAAAACCCAGUCUCUCUUCUUCUUCUUUUUUUCCCUCUUUCUGGGCGAUCUGAACUCAGUGCAGUUUUUUGAAUCUCUGAUCUUGAGUAAUAAUCUGCACUUUUUAAGAUCCAUAUGUCUCUAAAUGCUGUUGUAUAAUUUUUACUACAUGUUUCAUGGAGUUACAUGCAAAGAUUAUACGUUGCCGCAUCUUUGUACAAGAUACUGUUGUGCAGGUAAUAUUCUUGUGCCUGAUAAUUAAUAUGCAAAAUGUUUGUGUUAUCAAGGAACUGGGCAUGCAUUGUUGCUUUAUCAUUAGUCAUGAUCACGUUUCUGUGUGGUAUGGGUUUGGAUGCAUUUUUUUUUAAUGCAUUUUCUCCGAGCUCUUUCGACUACAACCGAUUCAUGUGAUAAAAAAAUUGUACCUGAAAUUUUCAACAUUGUAGCAUAGUUUCCGCUCCAAAUUGAAAAAUGUAUCGAUGUACUUGUCAUAAAAGCAACUUUCAGACUCGUGUAAUUAAUUACAUGGUAAAAAUUAGGGAAGACUUCAAAAAAAACCCUUUGUGGUUUCGUAGUUUCUCACUUUCCCCCUCUGGUUUAAAAUGUAUCAAAUUGUCUCCAUGUGGUUUCGUUUUUAUCUUUUCGGUAGUUUUUUCGUUAAUAUUUCAUUAAAUUAUAUAUAAAAAAAUUUUAAAUAUCCAUCUAGAUUUAUCAAAUAUUCACUUUAGUACCCUUUAAUUUUAACUUUAUCACUGAUUUAAGAAAAAAAAAUAAUGAAAUUGAUAAGAAAAAGAAAAAAAAGAAACUACAUGGGAGCAAAUUGAUAUAUUUUAAAUCACGGGGGCAAAGUGAGAAAUUAUGAAAUUACAGUAGGGAUUUUUUUGAAGUUUGUCCUAAAAAUUAUGAUUGCUUACUACAUACAUGAUUGGUUAUAUCUGCUGUUACCAUUACCUAAUCCACAAUGGGCCACUUCGAAAGUACGCGAAAAGUCCAAAUUAAUAGGCACCUAAUGGAUGUGAAAGAGGUACGAAUAUACCGAACGAGAGAGCUAAGGACAUACGGAACGAUAGUGCAAAGGAGUUAGCAAAAAAAAAAAAAAAAAAAAAAAAAAAAAAAAAAAAACUAUACAAUUAGUGAUGCGGAGAAACACACAAAGAAGCAAUCACAAAUCAGGCAUCACAGAUAUAUACUGACAUGAAACAUAAAACAUAAUAUAGACAUUAUUUAUAAAAUAUAAUUAUAAUUAUAUAAUAAUAUAUAUUUAUUAGAGUUCAGCUAUUAUAAUCUUACGAGUAUGAAUCUUUUUGUGCUCAUAAGUUUUCGACCCGUAGAUUUAUUUUUUUGACCAUUUUCAUCUAUUAAGUCAUACUAUUCAACCAACCACUCUCAAUCCUGCUAGGAGACUACUAUAAUUUUAACGCAGACCCUUAUCAUUUUAAUCGCACAUUCCUUCAUUAAAUGAUCGAAAAUUUUAUAAGUACAAAAAAGUUUAUAUUCAUAAAAGUAUAUAUAUUUUUAUAUAUAUAUAUAUAUAGUAGAACUACUAUGCUAUCGAAAGUAUAGAGGAUUUGGUGCUUCCGGCUUAUUGACUCUUAAAUUAGUCUUUUUAAAACCCGACCCGAACCCAAAACCCGAACCCGAAUAAAUUAUAUAUAUACAUAAUUUAUUUUUAUUUAUAUAAUAUAUAAAAUAUUUAAUAAUUUUUAUCCUUUAGAUCUUUAUUCAACGGUAUGAAUUUUUAAAACCUGCAGGGUUCAGGUCCGGGUUCGGAUUUUGGAUUUUUGAUCGGGAACGAAUAUGGGUAUGGAUUUUUAAAAUCCGCCGAGUUUGAGUCCGGAUAUGAAUUUUAAUUUGGUUUUCGGAUUCGGGUUCGGAUUUUUAAAAAUUCGAUCCAAACCCGACCCGUUGACAUCCCUAAUCUCUUGCCGUUAGUCUCUUGUGGAUCAUAGCCCUUCUCAACUUAUUAGUCUUCUGGACCUAUUAUUACAGGGUAGGAUGUUGAACCUAUUUUAGUCCUAUAUUAAAUAACCAAUAUAAUGUUCCCUCUAAAAUUUUUUUAAAAAUAUAUAAUAUAUAAAAAUUUUUUAGAUAUCCCUACUAAAUUCCUCUAAUGCAGUUAUGAGAAUUGAGUUUAGAAGGGUAUUUUGGUAAUUUCAAGGUUUAUUUGUAAUUUUGAAUAAUAGUAAGGGGUGAAAAAAAAAAAAAAUAAAAAAAUAAAAAAAUAAUAAAGUCGGCAGCGGAUUGCAGCCCACGGCCGGCUUCGGCCGGCACGAUUUUUGGCGCCAUCCGCCCUAAACCCCUCUCCUUCUCCGCGUCGUCGUCGUCCUCCUCCUCCUCCAUGUCUCCGCCUCAUCCUCUCCCUCUCCCUCUCCCUCUCCCCCUUCCUCCUCCUCCUCCUCGUCCUCCUCCUCUUCCUCUCGGCCAUGGGCUGCGCCCAAUCGAAGCCCCCGACCUCGCACUCUCCCCCCAGCGGCGGCGUCGACAGGCUCAAGCUCGACGGCCGCUACCUCCCCGCCGCCGCCGCCGGCGGCGCGAAGCGGCCCCAGCCGCCGCGCGGCCCCGCCGAGCGACGGGAGAGGGUUAGGGUAGCGGAUGCGGCGGCAGGAGGAGGAGGAGGGAGGAGGGAGAGGGAGAGGGAGAGGGUUGGGAGAGACGAUGGGGCGGCGGAGAAGACGAAGGCGAAGACGAAGACGAAGACGACGACAAUGGCGAUGGCGACGCCCCCGUCGAGAGGAGGAGGAGAGGCGGAGGAGAUGGUGGAUGGGUGGCCGCGGUGGCUGCUGGAGAACAUCCCCAGGGAGGUGCUGAGUGGGCUCGUGCCCAGGAGCGCAGAUUCAUACGACAAGAUCGAUAAGGUGAUUGUGUUACUCUCUUUUGAUUACCGAAUUCAAUCUCCAAAUACCCUGUUUGGACGUCGGAAUAAGAAAUCCAAUGAUAACUUAUUCAGGUAUGAUGAUCUUCUUAUGUAAUUGGAAAUUAGGAAUUCGAUUUUUCGCUCCUUAAAAGGUCUUGAGAUUCAUGAUUUGGUGCGAUGUUAUGGAAAACUUUGGCUUAAAGGCUGAAUAUGGUAUCCGUUCUAGACAUUUACUAUAUGCCUCUUGAGUAAAUGGAAGUGAGAUGUUCAUGUGUCCAAACAUGGCCAAAGUUAUCUUACACCUAGAUCGAUAAACUGAUGUGUUGCUCUCUUUCUAAUACCCAAUUCAAUCUCCAAAUUACGCAUCAUCGUUUCAACAUGGAGGCCCUACUUGCGUGUCGGAAUAAGAAAUCCAAUGAUAUGUUAUUCAGUACGAUAAUUUUCUUGUGUAAUUGGAAACUAGGAGUUUUUUUUUUUUUUUUUUUUUUUUUUUUUUUUUUUUUUUUUUUGUUUUGCUCCUUUGAAGGUCUCGGCAUCCAUGAUUUGAUAGGAUAACAUAUUUCACUACGAGGUGAUCUAUCUUAUCCUGAAAAAAUGGUUUAAAGGCUACGUAUGAUAUCUGUUCCAGACAUCUUAUCAUACUCAUAUAUAUUAAAUACUGUAUGCUUCUUGAGUAAAUCAAAGUAAGAUGUUCAUGCAUCAGAACAUCGUCAAAAUUAUGAUACUAUCUACAAUUAAGCUUUUACUGUCUCAAAUGGUUCAUGAAAACUUGGUUUAGCAACAAUCUAAAUAGAAUUUAAUGGAAUCCAAAUGAAAAAAAAAAUCAAUUGAAUUUAUCUAGAAAUGUAUUUCUUUGUUUGGAUUAAGUCAGAUUUCAGCUGAAUUUUAUUCCGUUUUGUUGUUUGGUAUAAGAUGAGUAAUCAUUUUAAUAAGAUUACUUUUUCUAUGUAUCCUCACUUAUAUAAAAGGAAAGAUGUAUAAUUAAUUUGAGGAGGGGUAGUUUGGGUUAUUGAUAAAGGAUAACUAAUAGCAGAUGAAUUCUCACCAAAUCCAACUUCAAACCAUGCGAAUUGGAUGAGAUCCAUUUGUAUUAUGAGAGAUCCCACUGAAUCUUUCUGAACUGAAUUCUCAUUAACUUAUGGUACCAAACAACUAAUUUAUAAAAACUAGCAUUCAACUCUUUGAACUCUAGGAUUUUGGGCAGUCAAACAGGAUGUUAGAUUGAUUUGGUACAAAAUUUAUGUGGCAUGCCUAUGACAGAAAAGACUUUCUCCACAAUGACAACAUUUUGGGUGACAGUAGUGGUACCAUUUUUGGCUACUGUCUGUCAGCCUUUUAAUGGAGUAUAGUGUUUCAUGAGAGUUUGGCAAAAAGAGAAGUGCAACACAAAAAGUGAAAACAACCCUAGUAUUUAAGUUGUAUAUUUUGUAUUCCAAAGUUCUAAAAGUGGUUCAGCUUAAUUCUAGCCAUCAUCACUGAUUAGAGGAAAACUUGUUAUCUGCACCUGGUGUGCAGGUACGUCCGUCCACCAGGUCCACCAGGUGUCCAUCAGUUUUCCAUCCAUCUUAUAUUUUCAAUCAACCAUUGAAUUCUUAAAAGAGAAAAGGCCGCAAUUCAGUGGUUGGUAGGGAUUGAAAUAUGAGAUGGAAUUAAUGGCUGAUGGAUAUGUAGUGUGUGAUAUACGGAUGGACGGGGUGCAGGAAUUCAAAGAGUAGAUGAGAACAAGGACUAAAUUGAAAUACUUCCAAACAUUUGGAGGAUAAACCAUCGAACUUAAAAAUUUUGAGCAAAGUGAAACUUCACCAUUAGUGCAAUGCACCUGUUCUUUUUAAUGAGAAGCUCAUUGAACUCUUCUUGGUUCAGGUGGGUCAAGGGACCUAUAGCAAUGUGUAUAAAGCUAUAGAUCGAGAUACUGGAAAAAUAGUUGCUUUGAAAAAGGUACGCUUUGACACAUCGGAGUCGGAGAGUGUCAGAUUUAUGGCACGGGAAAUUAUGAUACUGCAGAGGCUGGAUCACCCUAAUGUCAUUAAACUUGAAGGCCUUGCAACUUCAAGGAUGCAUUACAGCCUUUACUUGGUUUUUGACUUCAUGCAAACUGACUUAGCAAGGGUGAUAUCUUGUUCUGAUCAGAGGCUUACAGAACCACAGGUUCUUAUACGAAACAAAAUAUAGCAGAAUUUACAUUUAUGCACUGUAGAAAUCAGAGUUUUGACAGAUGCCUUUGUACAGGUUAAGUGUUAUAUGCAACAGCUGCUAUCGGGUCUUCGGCAUUGCCAUCAGCGUGGAAUCUUACACCGAGACAUUAAGGGUUCUAACCUGUUAAUAGAUAAAUAUGGGAUGCUGAAGAUUGCUGACUUUGGGCUUGCUAACUAUUUCAAUCCUAAUAAAAAACGGCCGCUUACAAGUAGAGUGGUCACACUGUGGUACAGAGCACCUGAACUACUGUUAGGAACUACGGAUUACGGAGUUGGAAUUGAUCUGUGGAGUGCAGGUUGCCUUCUUGCUGAAAUGUUUGCUGGGAGGCCGAUAAUGCCUGGUAGGAAUGAGGUGAGGAGCUAUUUGAUUACAAAAGCAAUUUUUAUGGGCAACAGAACUAGCAGUCUAGAUCUUUUCUUUGAAUUUUCACGUUAUGAAUGCUUGUAUCUGAGUAGAAUGGUGCAUUUGCAAAGCUUUGAAUUAUUCUUCGUUGUACGUUGGAAAAGAAUUAAAUAUUCAAACAUCUAUUCCAUAGCAUUAAUAAAUUGAAUAGAUAAAAUUAUAUAUUACUAAAAGCAUGAUUCAUAUUAGGGAACAUGGAAGCUUCAAAAAUGUUGUUGUGUCCAUAUCGGACAUGUUGAGCAGUUCUCAUAGGCAAAAAUAUUAUGAAUCCUCAUGUUACCAUUUAUUCUUGGAGUUCCUUGAAAGCUCUAGUCUAGAUUACCGUAUUAUGACUUCACUAUUCUGUUUAAUGUGCUUUAAAGAUAUUUCAGUCUUUUUCAAUUUGUAAUUUUUAUGUGGGAAUACUUUUCUGAAGUUUCCUUUGGUGCUUCUAGUUCUCCUAAACUCGGUUGCUUUUGUGUUCUUUUUUAUUAUUAAUAUCCAUGCUUUAAUUUGUAUUUAGGUAGAUGUCCUUACCCCUUACAUAUACAUACAUGGCGUGGGGCAUAAAUUGCCAAAAUUAUCCGAAGACAAAUGCGACUACAAAUUCCCUAUGAGAAGCGAUGCUUAGCUAGUGUUAAUUAUUACUUAGACUUUUCGGAAGAUUUGAGCUGAACUAAUGUUAGAAUCUUAGCUUUGUCGUAAGUGUACAUAUCUCUUGUCAAAUGCUCUAUGAAUAAUUUUGGUGCUCACGCUUUAGCUUUUAAUCAAUCAAACAAAGUUAAGCAUAUUUGAAGACCUCAUUUUAUAUAUGUUUUUCUUUUUUUCUCUCAAGCUCGGUUCAUCUAUCAGCUAGCAACUGGCUUGCAGUUUCAUGCUUUUAGGAGCAAAACAUGCUCAACCAGUCUUUUGAUGACCCAAUCAACUACAUUUAGCAGUUUGGUUGACUUGCAGCUCCUAAUAGGCUAAUGUCUAUGUCAAAAGUUGUUCUUGACCUAAGUAGUUUAUUUGUAGAGUUAACCAGUUAGGAUUCUACAGACAAGUAGUUAAAGACUCUCAAGAACGGUUGGAUAGUUGCUAAUUUAGCAAUUAAUUUAUGUAUAGGCGAAGUAAGUUGUUUUUACUUUGUGUUAGUUUGUCUCAUAAUGAUAUAUAUAUAUAUAUAUAUGAUGGAACUGAUGAAGGUGCUUUAUGUUUCAUACAUUUCUCUGAUUCAUAGUCUUUCAUAUUCAGAUUGAGCAACUUCACAGAAUAUAUAAGCUUUGUGGAUCCCCACCAGAUGAUUAUUGGAGCAAAAUGAAAUUGUCUCCGAUCUUCCGAUCUCCACAAUCUUACAAACCAGCUAUUUUGGAAACUUUUAAGGAUUUUCCUUCUUCCUCACUUGGUUUGCUCAGUAUGCUUCUUGCGUUGGAUCCGUCGAAUCGUGGCACUGCAGCUUCUGCUUUGCAGAAUGAAGUAGGUUACUCUUCAUGAUUUGAGCAUACUAGCUUUCUAGCAUGAGUAGAAUAUGACAGUAAGAGAAAUUUUACCAGUAGAAAGCAUAUGUUUUUUUUUUUUUUUUUUGAGAGAAUUCGUUUAUUUUUUUAUAGAAAUAAACUUAGCUGAAAAUGUGAAUCAACUAGGAUUCGAAUUUGGGUCCUCAGGUACCAACCACCAAGCCUUUUGCCACUUGCACUAGGGAUGGUCGGUAGUAGAAAGCAUAUGUUAAGCACUUGUUUUGAGUUUAUAAGUCACACUAGUAUAAUAGAGAGAAAAACCUUAUAUGUUUUUUUAUUCAUUACAACCAUCCUUUAAGCCUAGGGUUGUAAUAUUGUGUAUUAAGCAUAUUUCUUGUUGAUUUUUUGACAAUUUUAACUAAACUUCGUUGCAAUCGUUUCUGAGCAAUGGAAAAAAAAUUAGACAUUCAUUAUGCAUGUCUUAGUUUAAUACAUCCAUGGAGAUUCCAAAUUACAUUGUUGCAAAGCAUGAGUCAACAGGCUUGGUUGGUUGGUUCAAUUUGUACUUUUCAAUAUAUCUUGAUUCUUAUAAUCUGUUGAUUGACAUGUUUAAAUGCAGAUAAACAAAGUGAACUAAUUCGACUCUUGUGAAUUAUAAAUAUGAUCAAAAUGUCACUGUUCUGAAAAUUCGUCUGCUUUUCUGUGACUGCUUAUUGUGCAAGUAAGAAAUGUUUCAAACAUUUAAGCUAUUGAUUUAUAACUAAGAAAUCCUGAAGCAUUUUUGGUCCAGAUUUCUUAGCUUUCCAACUGGUUGUUCCUUGUCUAUGUGCUUUGUGUUGGAGUCCCAUAGUUCUUCCUAUUAUUUGUUUAUAUAACAUUGUUGCACUCCAGCCAAUGAUGCUAGCAAGGAUGCUUUCAUCUUAUCGGUCAAUCUCCAAGCCCAUUUCCUAAUAAUUUACUAUUCAAGAUAUUACAGUCUAUUCACCUUAUGUUUACUUCAUCUGCUUUUGUUCACUCAAUUUCGGGGCUACAUAUGUGUUGCAUAUUAAUUUGCGUUCUAUGUAUCUGGAUUGUUCUACUUUUUGAAAAAGUGAUGACUUAUGAUCCCUUCCUUUGCAGUUCUUCAGCACAAACCCCCUGGCCUGCGACCUCUCUGGUCUUCCUGUGAUCUAUAAAGAAGAUAAGGAUGACUAUACUCACCUGCGUGAUGGACAAAAGUAAGUUAAACCUUUUGCUCUGAUGUUUUUCAGAUCUAUAUUCUGCUCAUGGAAUUAAGAGCUUGUUGUGAUGGUUUUACAAUGUAUUAUUAAUCAAGAAAGAGAUAAAAUUUCAUGUAACUUGAGUAAGUAUUUAGUUCGAUGCAUCUUGUAAGGUAGGAAGCAGAUUUUGGUUUUUUUUUCGUAUCUAAUGGAAAUAUUUCUGCCCUCAUUCCUAUAGUUCUAUACUGAAAUAUCGUUUUCACAAACUCUAUCUCUCCAUAUUACUCUUAUAGGCGCAAAUCUUCUAAGCUGAAGCAACGUUCUUACAAGCAGAGAGAGGAUGCCAAGAAAAUUGAGGCAGAUAUGGCAAGAAGGAAAGCAGAUUCUGGAUCAUCAAAAGAGGUAGGGAUCUGGGACACCAAUAACAAGUGGGAGGAAUACUGUUACUCUAGUUUCCUGUUUCUUUGUAAUCACUAAUUUAAAUUUUCUUUUGUAGGUACAUUCAUACAUGCACUAAUCUUUUAAGUUAACACUUAAUUUGAAUGAAUCUUUUUUGUCACAUUAUGUCAUCCAAUUUUUUGAAGUUUUCAUAGGAGCUCUUGGGCUGAACUAAACCUAACAAUUGCCACAGGUGCCACUAAUGUAGACUAACCAUGGAAUAUUAACCAACUUUGUGGAACUUGCUUUUUCUAGAUAUAUUCUUGGUGUUAUUCCACUUACAUCCUUUUUCCGCAGGAAGAGAAACCUACAGAUGUGAGAGUACAGAUACAAGAAAUAGGUAGCAGCGUAGCAAGCACUUCUUCAUCCAUAACAAAGCCCAAAAAGUAUGCAGUGGUGCCGGGUGAAUCACUCUAUCCAGGAUCAUAUCUACCUCAAGAAGUAACGCAAAGAUCCGAUGCCCAUCCUUCGGCCUCUAAGAACAUCAAGAAUUUCCCACCACAUGCUGCUAUUGAAGAGGUUCCUGGUGGUCCCAAAGGUCGAGAUGUCAUGCACCGUUAUGGUUUAGAUAGGUCGAUCUCGAUGUCAGAGUUCCACAGGAUGGACGGAAAGGAUUUGUCAAAACUGUAUGUUCUUGUUGAUUAGACAUGCACAAAUAUUUUAUUUUAUUUAUGUUUGGGACAAAUGUACUAGUAGUUCCUAAAAACUUCGACUUACUGCGAUUUGGUCCGUAACAUCCCCACAUUUGCUUCUUUUGGAAAUCCAUGACGUUAUGCGACAUUUUUGGUCCCGAAGAAAACAAAUUGAGUGGUAAAUGAUGGACAAGAUCAUCACUUUGAUAUGUGGUCAAGGGGAAUUUAAACUCCGGAGAAAGUAAAACAAUUCAGGGGCCGAAUCGCAGCGAGUCAAAGAGAGAGGGCCUCCUACAUAUUAUAACCCUGUGAGUUUACUACUAUUGAGUUGCUUACACAUAUUACAUGAAAGUGUCUCCUUGUAGUUGUAAAAACAAUGACAAAUAUCAAUUUUAUAUGUAUGUCGAACUUCCGUGUUCGUUUUAUUUGCUAUUCUUUUGUACAUUGAUCUUUAGCAUAAACUGUCUGAAGUUCAAAUGGUAACUGGCAGGGCCAUAUAUCAAAGGAAAAGAAAGAAUUGAUUCUUAUUCUUACUUUCAUAUGGAAAGGGAAUUGUGUGAUUCCCUAUUUUGAUUUUGUUUUCAGGAAUUGAUCUUCAGAAUUGUUCUGAGAAGCCAUGCCUGAAAUCUUAAUAUUGCAAGGUGGAAUAAUCUUAUCAAAUUCCCAUUCAGGUUCCAACCAUUCCUAUUCCAUUCCCUAUUCAUGGUUGUUGCUCCUUUUGAUGCUGUGCAGUUUCCUAAGAGUAGAUAAAAAUAGAAUCUGGACAGUGAAAAUUAUAUCGCAAAAAAAAUUUCACAGGUCUAAACACAUAUACAGAAUCAAUCACUUUAGCAUACAUUCUACUCUCAUUCAUUUUUGAGCGGGUAUAGCAUUUUUUCGUCUAUUUCAAUUUCUAAGUAAUGUUUUUUUUUUUUUUGAGAAAAGAUAGCAUGCUACCGCUUCAUUCAUAAAGGUAGUGAACUAAGCAAGGCUUUGAGACAGCGGGGCCUCGGUACGAGCGAAAAAAAAAAAAAAAACUCAAGGAAGUGUAGAGCGAUUUAGUCGCGUCUUCUACAUAGGGUCCUCCACAUGUGCCAAAAAUUGCGGGAUUGCGCCAACAAAGAGCUCAAGUUCCGUUUCUUUCGCUGGAAGAUUCUCUUAUUCCGCUCCAAUCAAAUAGUCCACCAUAUGGAGGCAAUGUAAGAUAGCUCCGAACCCCCUAUGGCACCGCCUUUAAGGGUACUAGACCCCCAAAGCCCUCUCACAGACGUGCAGUGUAGUAAGGAUGUUUUAUUAGAAACUUGACUUACCAGGAGAGUCAUUGUAGAUUCGCAAUACACAAAGAGAUGAUCAACCAUCUCAGGCUCCAAUCCACACAUGACACACUCUUGCUCACCGUACCAUCCUCUUUUCAACAGAUUAUCCACUGUCAGUGCCUUUCGCUUCAAAACAAGCCACACAAAGAUUUUGACUUUUAGUGGGGCUCUAAUCUUAUAUUUUAUAUAUCUACUUUUAUAUUUUAUAAUUUUUUACUAAUAAUUCAACAAAUCUACUGAUUCUGAUUAUAAUAUGGAGAGAGAGAGAGAGAGAGAGAGAGAGAGAGAGAGAGAGAGAGAGAGAGAGCAAAACAGGCAAGUUUUUAUGCUUUGUGGGGUUGAACACCUACACCAUGCAAAAGAUCCACUGAUUCUGCUGCAAGACAAAGCUGCUUAAUUAUUAAGCAAACACUGCAAGUGCAGCAGCAGCAGCAGCUUCUGGGAGAAGCUUCUGCUGCUGAAAUUAAUUUUGCCAGAGUUUUUAAGUCAUAACUUAUCUAUAUACAUGACAUGAGCAAUUUCCCAAUCUAUGAUAAUACUAUCACACACACAAGGCAUGGGCUAUGCAUGCAAUAUCUACUCAACAUUGAUUGCUGUCAUGGUUACAAUUCUGAGACUACGACUUGCAGCUGCUCCUCCGUCGUAAAGACUUCGGUAGAUUCUUAGAUUGACGGAGAUUGACGGGAUUCUUAUCGCCCGCUUGUCUUUUUCACUAUGCCUUCUAUUUUUGCUAGAUUAUCUUAGACUUACAUCUUAUUUCUUAUCAAGGACAGGAUGGAUAUGCUUGUUUUAAUGAAUACGCAGAUACACGGAAUUAUAAUUUCAAAAAGAAAAAGCAGCUCUCUAUCUCUCUACUAACGAUCGUCUUGUAUUUGGUGAAUUGUAAUCUUUAAAACAUGUAGUUUUGGAUGUUUGUAUGCAUGAAUUAUCCAGUAAUAACUUAUGUGUUGUUAGAAUAUUUAUCUCUAUAUACGAUAAUACUAUAGAAGAAAAAGUACAAAAUGAUUCAACUAUCUCUCUCUAUCUAAACUAUAGCAAUAUAACCAAAUAGGGAAAAUAAAUCAAUAACUUUUGGAAUAAAUGUGUAUGUAACAUAUUGUCAUUCACAUAGGAAUAGGUUUGAUGUUCUAUAAGAGAAAUGCUUUGAGUCUCCACGCUGUAUGUACCCCAUUAUAUUGUUGAUGUAUUAGCACUUACGUGUUUAGGAUUCAAAGUUUAAUUAUGGCGUUUGGGGUAUAGGGUUUAGAGUUUUAAUUAUGAUGUUGCCAAUACAUUAAUAACAUAGUAGGGGACACAUGUAGGGUACACAUAAUAGUGUUGUUCAGAUAAAUGAAUAAAUCAUAAAAUUAACCCAAAUACACCAUUUGAAGUCAUAAAAUAUUUCAAAUAUAUACAAAAUUAUAAGAAAGGAAAUGGAGCACCACUUAAGUUACCUAGGAAGGGUAAUUUUUGAGAUCCAAAGAUUAAAACUUUAAAUAUAUAUCUCUGAUCCAAUUCUAAUCAUCAAUACUAUACUCCAUUAAUUUGGAAUUAAUUGUAACCUCACAUUGAGGUUGAGUCACCACCUAAUAAGCAUAGAUCUAGAGGUGCAAUUUAUGGACAAUUAUUCCUGUGUUACACAUUUUGAUUCCUCAUAAAGAAUCAGAUUAUUUAUUAGCAAGAAAAGAUUAAUACUAACCUUAAGGAAACAAAUAUAUUAUAGGGUAAAUUUUAAAACAUCCUAUGAUUCAACACAUUUUCACGUCACCAUAUCCGAGGUUCCAAAUUCGAAGCUUAAUUGCUUCAUAUUUCUAGCUGAGUUCAUGUAAAAAAAAAAAAUAACAAACCAAAAGAAAAAUUGGAAUAAUUGUUCUCUUCCAUAUAUUCAUAUACAACAUAAUAUACAUAAUCUUAAAUAUUCAAACAUCAACUUAAAUUGUUUUCAAAUAUUAGCUUCAGAUUACACAGCUCUAGUUAAUUAAAAGACAAUUUGUAGAAGGGACUGCAUAUUUUUCAAAUUAAGAUCAGUUAUCUAAAUUUAUAACAAAAAAACCUUUCCAAAUGCAUAGAUUAUAACAAUUCUAAUACAAACACUUCCAUCACAGAGAAACACAAAAAAAAAAGAAAAAAAAAAAGAGUUUUGAUUUAACAUACCACCAAGCCUAAAUUACUAAUAUUAAACCCAUAAUCCACUUUUUAACCAAUUAUUCAAAACUUCAUCCAUAAGACACAUAUACCAUUUUUACACUAAUUCUACAUUAAGAACAAAAGCAACCCAAAAAAAAAAAAAGAGUGAUAAAAAUAUAUAUAUAUAGAGAGAGAGAGAGAGAGAGAGAGAGACUAGGCUUGUUUUUCAGUUUCUGCUCAGAUGAAAAGCGCACUAAUUAAUAAAAUAAAGUGAAGGCUCAAUUUCACCUGUCCAUCACUUAUAGACGAAAACGUUUAUGCUCGAAUGCACGAACAACGAAAUAGAUACCACAUCAUAUUACGAAUAAAGUAAAUAUAUGAUUGGACGGAUCAGAUUGAGUCUUCAAUCUUUUAUUUUGUUAUAAGUGCAGCGUUUACGCAAGUGCAGGAGGACGUAAAACCAAAACGAUGAACAGCUGAGAUUGAGCCUUCGGUGCUUUUAUUCUGUUAUCUGCACGCGGUUGCGUCUCAGAUGCCGUAGCGGGCGUCGGAGAGCUUGGACUUGAUCCACUUGAAGCCGCUGCGGACCGAUGACUUGAGCCGCCCCUCGACGGCGAAGACGUUGUAGGCCGCGAUGCGCCGCUUGCGCUUCAGCUCCGGGUCGGCCGAGCUCGCGAACCCGUCCCGCGUCCCGCUCGGCCCGUUGAACGAGUACGACGACGAAUUCGCCGCAGUUCGCCCCUCUAUGUAGCUGUAGGAGUGGUACUGAGCAGCAGAAGGGAAAGACCUGCUCUUCUCCAUAAGAGCAGUUUUGUAUGUGAGAGUCAAGAGAGAGAGAGAGAGAUCUAAAGAUGUGUGUUGUGUGUUGUGUAAGUGUGUUUAAUGUAGGAUGCCGAUGACGAUGAGUACGGAUACCCAAAAUUUUAUCUUAAUCUGCAUAGGACGGGUUUAUCUAAUGCUAAACUCAUAUAAUUUCGGAUAUAGGUAUGAAAAUGAAAAUCCGAGGGAUACAAAUUUGGGUAUUGAUUUUGUUUUUAUAAACCGAUCAGAAUCUGAAUUCAACUCGAAGCCGAAUAGAUUUUAUAUAUAUGAAUAAUGUUUGAUAUUAUAUUUGAAUUUGUACUUUAAAAUUUUAAAUUUUAAUAUAAAAUGUAUUGAACUACGGCACCGGAUUUGAAUUUUUGAGUUCAUUCGGGUUUUGAAUUUUUGUUUGGAUUCAAUUUUUGAAUAUGAAAUCUUAAGAUUUGUCCAAUUUUGAAUUCGAACUUUUUGAAAAUUCGUCUUGAACCCGACCCGUUGACGGUCCUAUAUAGUUUAAUGGAUGGUGGGGUCCACUGUUAGUGAUGAUGGGUUUUGUUGGGGAAGAGUGUGGUGGAGAGUGGAGGCAUCAAUUAGUGGGGUUUGCCCCACAUGUGAUGUUGAAGGAUGAUUAUUUGCUCUCUCCUUAAUGGGGAUGCAAAAUGGAUCCGGGUUCAUUGAGCUUCCAUAUCGAUCCGUCCCGAAUAGGAUAAUAAAUAAGAAUCAAAAAUAAAAAAAAAACAUAAAUAAUUUAUUUCAAAUCUGCACCAUAGAGUGAAAGGUAGGGGACUUUUUUCUUUCAUUGAUAUGUUCUGAUCCGCUAAUAAUUUGUCAGGAAUUUACUUUCGCACUGAAUAGAAAGGCAAACGAGGAUAAAAAAAUAGAAUGGAAAGUGGAUCUCGAUUCAUCGAGCUUAAGUCUCGACUAGUUCCAAAUAGGAUAAUAAAUAGGGGCCGAAAGAACGAAAAAAAAACUAUUUAAAUUCGCACCUAUCGAAUAGAAAAAUAGAACAGAAGGUGGUAGACCUUUUUCUUUCUUUGGAAUAGAAAAAUAGAACAGAAGGUGGUAGACCUUUUUCUUUCUUUGGUAUGCUCUGAACCAUUAAAAUUUUGCUAGAAAUCUACUUCCACACCGAAUGGAGAGUUAAACGAGGGCAAAAAAAGGAUGGAAAAUGAAUCUGGGUUCAUAGAGCUCCAGUCUCUAUCCGUUCCGAAUAUGACAGUAAAUAGGAGUAAAAAAUAAGCAAAAAAAAAAAAUCUAUUUUAGAUCCGCACCUAUCCGAUAAGUAGAGCAGAGGGUGGGGUAUCCUUUUUUGUUUUUUAGUGCAUUCUAAUCCGUUAAUAAUUUGCCAGGAAUCUACUUCCGCAUGGAUCUGGAUUCAUGGAGCUCCAGUCUCGACCUGUUUCGAAUAGGACAGUAAAUAGGGGCCAAAAUAGCCAAAAAAAAACAAUCUAUUUCGAAACCUCACCUAUCCAAUAAAAAAAUAGUCAAAAAUGAGAGGAAAAAAAAAAAAGAUAAUCUAUUUCGGAUCCACAUCUAUUUGAUAAGAAAAUCAAGUGAAAGAUGAGAAACUGUUUUCAAUAUAUUCUAAAUAGAAAAAAUUAUUAGCUUUAAAAUAUCUAUUAUUCCUAGAGAAUCAAUGUUGUAAAAGGUUAUUAUCUAUUAUAUUAUAUGAGAAAUAAGUUUUUUUUAUUACUUUAUAAAACAAAUAAGAUAAAAAUGUACCCUAAAAUUAGGGCUUAUUUUAAUUAUGUAAAAAUUUUAGGUGUUAAGUUUUACUUUAAAAUGUAUAUUCACAAUUGAGAUAAUGAGGCAAACACUUAAUGAGAGAGUCAAAUAAUUUGAACAAAUUUUAUGAAUUCACUAAUAUCUUUUUAAAGUAAAACUUAACACCUAAAAUUUUUACAUAAUUAAAAUAAGCCCUAAUUUUAGGGUACAUUAUUUUUAAUCUUUAAUUUUUAACACCUUGGUCAGCCCUUUUUGGCUGACCUGUUUUCUUUUUCAAAAAAAAAAAAAAAAAAAAAAAAAAAACACAAUUGUUUUCCCUCUUUUGUGGCACUUUAUGUUGUGUCCACUGUAUAGAAGCUACAGAGAAAAUUAAUGGGAUAAAUUGCACACGUGACAUUUUGAUUCUCAAAUUUUAAUUUAUUUUAAUUUUUAUUUAAAUUUUUUAAAUUUUAAUUAAAUAGUAACGUAUUAUUUAUUUAGAAUUAAUAUGACAUCUUAAUUAUUACCACCUCACCAAUCAUAAUAUAUUAUUAUAUUACUUUCGUAUUAAUGACAUAUUAAUAUUUAUUCAUCUAAAUUGAAUUGUGAAACUUAAUUAUAAUAAUUUAAAAUUUUGAGUGAAAAAUUAUAGUAAAUUAAAGUUCGAAAAACAAAGCGUCACACGCAUCAUAAUUUGAGCAUCAAAAGUGUUUUAUUCUCUCACCUCACCUCUCUCUCUCUCUCUCUCUCUCUAGAUCUCUCUCUCUCUUAUUUAUUUAUUUAUUUAUUUAUUUAUUUAUCACUUCACCAUGUUUGAUUAGUACUACAGGGUAACCACCACUAUUAUGACACAUUGAAACUUUAGUGGGCAUGUAAUUGUGAUGAGCAUCACCCUCCACUUUAGAUUCUCUUUCACUCCUUGAUGUGAUCUUUUUUAUUUUUAUUUUUUUAUUUAAAGUACCUUUCUCUUUUCUUAUUUUAAUAUUAAGAAAUGUGGUUUAUGCAAAAGAGAUGCAUGUUGUACUGUAAAUUGGAUUCUUAUUGUUAGUUGUAAUAUUUUUUUAAAUUAAAAUAGAUAGAGAGAAUUUUACCUUGGUUUAACAUUUGGAGGAACAAAGAGGGGAAAAUUUUUCACAGUUUCAUAUAACCAUAAUUUUUUAAUACUUAGGACUCUACUCCGACACAGAAAUAUCUUAUUCGACACAUCUUUCUAAUUUAUUAAAAAAUAUACAGUAUUUGAGAGAUGAAAAAUAUGAUCAAAUAUUUAGCAGCAUGUAUCAUACUCGGUCUUCAAAUUGUUUUUUUUUUUAAAGUAAGAUCAGUCAUCUUGUUGGUGAAAUAUAUAAUUAUACCUAAUCAUAAAUGCCGAGAUCUUUCGAAGAACAAAAAUCAAAUUUUUAGAAGGUGUUUGGUUUCUCGAAAAAGCAUAAAAAAUUAUUUUUUGAAAAAAAAAGUUUUUAAUGGAAAUGACUCUUUUUCACAAUUUCCGUUUUUCAGAUAAAGUAUCUGAAAAAUAAAAACACUACUUUUCAUAAAAUAUGGAAAAAAAAAAAAGUAGAAUAACAUUUUUCUUAUGAACCCAAAAAUACUUAUCCAGCAAAAAAAAAUUUCUGACAUAUAAAUGCGAAACGCACCCUUAGUUUUCAUUCAUGCACAAAAAAAAAAAAAAAAUUCAUACAUAAUAAAUUAUUACUAAAUACUUCCACAUUACUUCUACAUUAGCUAUUUGUCAAUAUUUAAUCAACAAAAUUAAAUUUUAAAAACUUGAUUGCAAUAAGUUAAAAAGUUUGAGUAAAAAAUUAUUAUAAAUUAAAGUUUGAGAACGGAAGUGUCACGAUCCUAAUAGUUUGAAGACCGAAAAUAUAAUUUUAUCCAAAAAUUAUAUUUUUGUCACAUCAUUUGUUUUUUUUAAUACUACAACCUAAUUUAGAUUUCUUAAAAGCCUAAGAAAUGAUUGGAUUAGAAUCUUAAUUCCUACAAUCCAACAUGGGUUGUAUAAAUGGAGAAGUAAUAAUUAAUUCUCUCCGAUUCCUAUAAGGUUUGUAACCAAAAGUCCAAAAAAAAAAAACAAAAAACAAAAAAAAACAACAACAACAAAAGUGAAACAAAAAUAUCCAAUCCAAUCUACUUUCCAAGUGAGGGAAAAAGAUAAUCAAAUUCCAAUUCAAAACAAAUUAAGUUAAAUUCAUGAAAUUAUAGAACUGUAUUUUGAAUUGCACCUCAUUUGGUAUCACAAAAAGAGAAUAGUAAAGUCACUUAAAUUGGAUCAACAAUAAUAAAUAAAAAAAAAAAGAAAGGGCCCCAUAGUAGAGUGCAACAAAGGACUACAUGUUCACGUGGAUAAGGCCUCUUUUAUAUGCAACUUUUUCCCGUACAAAUUAAAAAUUUAAAAGUCCUCUGAAUAAAAUUCAAUAAAGGGAAAGUGUUUUUACAGUAUUGCUAAUUGCGUGUUUCCCUUUCCGCAUUACCUAAAAAAUCGAUCCGAUAAAAAAUUAGUUUUAACGCAUUCGCUCGAAUAGUAUACAAUGAAUCGAGAGAUUGAUCUAAUAUGAAAUGAAUCAGAAUUAGUCUUAGUACCGAAAGAACAGUGCACUGCGCUCCUAAAUAUCAUCAUUAGCAUUGCACGGAGUGUAUAGGUACAUCUGAUGUACCGAACUUUCAAAAUCUUAUUAUAUGAAGGCCUCAAAUUCAGAAUCUAAUUAAUACAAGAACCUAAAUAUAAAGAAAAAUCAUGAAAAUUAAUAGUUAAAUAAAUAUGUAGAAUACACAUGGUGUAGAUGAUAAUCUCUCUCUCUCUCUCUCUCUCUCUCUCUCUCUCAUGCUGUUGAUAGGGUGGCGAAUGACACUCCCAAUUCACAAUCCAUAAUCCAUAGUAAUGAAUUAUUUGAGAGUGAUGUGGGUGGUCCCAAAGUGUCUGGUGGAGAUGGGGGACAAUGUGACAACCAAUUAACACUCCAAAGACCCCCAAACAAGUCACUUUGCUUAUUGUUGGUUCUUCUCAUCUGCCAAAGAAUCAAAUUAGGUGCAUAGAUUAGGGCUAUGCCUUUGCUUUAAUCAUCACCUUUAUUAUAGAAGAUGAUGAGCUAUGUUGCUAGGUUGUCCUAGAGGAGCGCGACUUCAUCGGAUAGCGCCUUCAGCGAGAUCUCACUGAGACGAGUACGACAGAAAAAUAUCCUGUUUGUUUUCGUACGUAAUAUUUCGUUCCGUAUGUCGCGAUGAGUCGAUUACGAUAUAUUUUCUACAGUUCAAUCGAAGAACGCAGAAACAUAUUCUUAUGUGUUUUUAUCCUAACUCUAUUUUAUCUAAUAACAUUAUAUAGAUCUCAAUACCAAACUAAACCUAAGACAGUUUGGUAAAUCACAUAAUUCAUUCCAGGUGAUCUUAUUAAGAC